AUUCCUACAACAAAAACUCAAGUCUUAACUUUUGUUACCCAUAUCAUUUUGGGUCCUCUAUUGUUAGUUUCAUAAAUAUUUUUGUUAAAAUGCGGUAUUGCUAUCAAGGGUAAGUAUUUAUUUUGUCGUAUCCACAAGGACUGGUGUGAUAUCAAUGUCGUUAAAUAGUUACUAUGAUUUUAAGCGUAAGUUUGCAAGAUGUUUGUUACAGAGUGUAAAUCAAUAAAUGAUAGAAAAAGUUUCAAAGAGAUGAGAGCUUGUUAGGAUUGGAUUUCAUCCACCGAUAGAAUAUUUAACUUACCAAUCAGCUAUACACAAUCUAAACUUAUCAAUAUCAUCACGUAUCGCUCGCCGACAGUGUUUAUGUCUUAACUCCUGAUGAGAGUUCAACUGCAUUUUUGAAUUGACGAUCUUUCAGCCUAUUAAACAAUACGGUAGCAUUAAGACUCGAUACUCAAAUGAAUGUUAAAUCUAAAUCUAUGUCUAGAGUUUAGCAUCUAACAGGUGAUUAUCCUAGAUCGAGAUUCAAAGAGUAUUUCUCAAUAACAAUUCAAAUCAAUAUGUAAAACAAGUAAACAAGUAUAAUAUCAAUAUAGAUUCAUAAAUAGAUUGUAUACAACAUCAUGAUAAAUAAAAAUACAAACUGUUACGACGAAAUUACAUCCAAUCCCAACAAGAAAGGAAUUUAGCUACUCAUGGUAGCUAGAUACAAAGAGAAGAAUGAAGAUAAACAUGCAUCAAUCAUAAUUUCCUAAUGAGAUUGAUGCGAACCCAUCUUCCGAUCUUCAAGAAGCACCAUCUCUUGUUGUUUACUAAGUUAGAGAGAGAGAGAGAGAGAGAGCAAAAUCUAAUAUAUAUCUCAAAAUAACAACUAAAAGUUAUUUAUAGAAAACAAAAAGUUGAAAACCGCGCUAAGCCUUAAAUUUGGCGCUCAACACCAAAUCCAGAAAAUGCCUUAAACCGCCUUAAAUGGUGCUAAGCGUCAUAUUUAGUGAUGAGCGUGAAAGCUCAUGCCUCAACAACUCAAAACGUGCUUUAAGCGUGCUAAGCCCACCUGCAGCAUUGAUUUCUUCCAAAAAUUACAUGUUGAAGCUAUUUCUUCCGCUUUUGAGGUCCAAAGCUCCUCCAAUGCAAACAUACCUACAAAAUGAGUUGCAAAUGAUCAAUCUACACAAUAUUUACACAUAAGUUGAGGUUUUUACUUAUGAAUCCAAAGAAUCAAGCUAAUAAGUGCCAUUUUUUCAUGCAUAAAUUCACCAUUGUUUGGCACUUAUCAAUUUUUACAAGGCACGCUUAGCGCCCUCUGCUUAACACCCUCUGCUAUUGCUUAUCGUCGGCUCUACUGCCCAGAAUUUUCAAAAUGAAAUUUUUUGUCAAGCUUUCCAUCCACUUUCACUAUUUAAGGCUUAAACUACUUAAUACAUAGUUAUUAAAUACUUAUAAAGUUGGGUUGCCUCCCAACAAGUGCUUAUUUUACAUCGUUAAUUCGACGCCUUUUUCAAUUAGACACUCCCUCUUGUUGCUUAUUUUGCUUUGCUAGUUGUUUGCUCUUCCUGGUUUUGAUGAUUUUUCUUCACCAGCAGUUACCCCUAACCAACACUUGAGCAAUCGUGAUGGGAAACAAGUAUAUAUACAAUAUAGACAAAUGUAUAAAGCUUAAAAAGAUAUAAAAUAUUGCCAUGCUUUAAUAUCUAAACGCCAAUCCCUAGCAACGACGCUAUUUUGUUGAAAUGUAGUAUUGCUAUCAAGGGUAAAUAUUUGUUUUGUCAUAUCCACAGGGACUGGUGUGAUAUCAAUGUCGUUCAACAGUUACUAUGAUUUUAAGCGUAAGUUUGCAAGAUGUUUGUUACAAAGUGUAAAUCAAUAAAUGAUAGGAAAAGUUUCAGAGAGAUGAGAGCUUGUCAAGAUUGGAUUUCAUCCACCGAUAGAAUAUGUAAUUUAACAAUCAGUUAUACAUAAUCUAAACAUUUAUCAAUACCAUCAUGUAUCACUCGCCGGCAGUGUUUAUAUCUAAACUCCUGAUAAGAGUUCAACCGUAUUAUUGAAUCGACGAUCUCUCAACCUAUUAAACAAUACGGUAGCAUUAAGACUUGAUACUCAAUAAUAGAUGAUUAUCCUAGAUCAAGAUUCGAAGAGUAUUUCUCAAUAACAGUUCAAAUCAAUACGUAAAACAAGUAAACAAGGAUAAUAUUUAUAUAUAUUUAUAUAUAUUUAUAAAGAGAUUGUAUACAACGCCGUGAUUAAUAAAAAUACAUACUAUUUUGAUGAACUUACAUCCAAUCCCAACAAGAAAGGGGUUUAGCUACUCAUGAUAGCUAGAUACAAAUAGAAGAAUGAAGAUGAACAUGCAUAAAUUGAUUUCCCAAUGAUUGAUGCGAAACCAGCUUCUGAUCUUCAAGAAGCACACUCUCCGGUUGUUUUCUAAGUUUCUCUCUCUACAAAAUGUAAUAUAUAUUUCAAAAUAACAACUGAAAGCUAUUUAUAGAAAACAUAAAGUUGUAGGCCGCACUAAACCCCAAAUUUAGCGCUUAGCGCCAUAUCUAGAAAAACACAUUAAACCGCCUUAAACGGUGCUAAGCGUCGGAUUUGGCGUUGAGCGUGGAAGCUCCUGCCUCAGCAUUUAAAAGCAUACUUUGAGCGCACUAAGCCCCAAUGAAGCUAUUUCUUCCUCUUUUGAUGUCUAGAGUUCAUCCAAUGCAAACAUACCUACAAAAUGAGUUACAAAUGAUCAAUUUACACAAUAUUUACACAUAAGUUAAGGUUUUGACUCGUGAAUCCAAAGAAUCAAGCUAAUAAAUGCCAUUUUUUCAUGCAUAAAUUCACCACAAUUUGACACUUAUCAAUUUUGACCGUUUGAUUUUAUAUUAAAGAUAUAAGUAUUUGAUGAGGUAGAUAUAUUUUUCAUUUUGCGGUCAUAAUAUUUUUUGUAGAAGUAUGAAGGAGGAUGUCCUUCUUUGCUUUCAUGAUUUUUUUUAAUGAAGCAGAAUAUAUAAAUAUGACCUUCUUUAUUACAUUAAUUUCACUUUAGGGUGUUAUAAUGAGAGGCAAAUUUAUUAUUACAAAUAUUACUAAAGUUCUUAUUAUUGUUGUUAGGUUCAUAGGUGAGACCAACUCUAUUGUUGGAAACUCUUUGGUUUCUCAACAAAAUAUUCAAGUUAUAUCUUCCCUUAGUGAAACUGUCAAGUGUUUUUUAAAGAUCACAAUUUUAAUUUUUUUAAAGUAUCACAUUCAUUGCACUUUACAAGUUCAUCUACUUCUUGGUUAGAAGGGCAAGAGUUUUGGACUAGAUCAUUUUGUCUCUUUCUAAGGUUUUCUAUUUCUUCCUCAAGGUUCUUAUUUUUAGAUUCAAGGGGAAAAAAUAGUAGCCUUGGGUAUUGAGACAACUUGUUCUAGUUUACUUGUUUAUUUUUUUACCUUCUUACAAAUGCGAAAAAGAUCUUAAUAAGAGAAGUAAAAGGUUACCUCAUCAUCUCGAUGAUUUUCCAUUAGACAGAUGUUGGCUUCUUCAUCAUCUAAAGACUCCAUGUCAUUGUCCUCCCAUAUUAUAUAAGCUUUCUUUCCCUCUUUCUAAGCUUUCUUAGAGUUCUUUUGAUUUUCCUUUUUUCAAAGAGGACAAUUUGAUCGGAUAUGUCCUUUCUUUCCACAUAGGUAGCAUGUGGAAAUGAACGAGGCUUUUUCCUCACUUUUAUCUUGCUCUUUUUUUUGUUUCUCGUGGCUUGGGAAUUUUUUAAGUUUCGUACUAUGAGAGACAUGUCAACAUCAGAAUAUGAAUUUUCGGCUUUAAGAGCUAGACUUUUAUUUUUCUUCUUUCUUUCCUCCUCUAUGGAAAGCCUCUUUAGUUCCAUCCCAUGUUCCUGUAAUUUAUCAAAGAGAGAGAGAGAGAGAGAGAGUGUGUCCAUGUUUGCUAAAUACAUAUAUUCAUAAAUCACAAUGACUUUAGGUUUCCAACUGCGGUUUAGGCAUCUCAAAAUUUUCACAACCAAUUCCAUAUUUGAAAAUGUUUUCCUAUAGUACUCAUAUGACUCACGAUGUGGGUAAAUCGUAUUUGUAAUUGGUUUAUGUUCUCUCCAGGUUUCAUUUUAAAAUAUUCAUACUCGUGGAUUGCAAAGAGUCCGUGCAUCUGAAAAGUUAGUGCAUAAUGGGUAUAAAGUCACAGAAGAGUGCUCGCAAAUCCCAGAAGAGUGUUCCAUCUUCUUGGUUGGAUUCUCCUUACUCCUAAUUUCUAUUUUUACUAAAGUAGGCGGUCUUGAUGACGCCUUUAGAAAAGUCGAUACAUCUUCCUACUAGUAAGUCUUGAGUCCCACCGAGGAUGAAAAGACAUGCAGUAAGUAUGGAAAUUAUGGCAUUCCCGUUUAUGAGUGCACUUUAUCUGUCAUGGGUCUUCGCCUUCUUUUCAAUGCCUUUGAGAUAAAAUUCUUGAAUAAUAUGGUGAUGGCCCCUUAGAAACUUUAUCCUACAACCUAGGCGUAUGUGAAGGUUUACCAGUAUUCGUAUGAGUACCUAAAAGGAAAGCCUUUUAUGACCCCUUUCUUUCAUCUCUUUAAAUGUCGACGUAGUCCUGUGGCUCAAGGGCGUAACAAAGGGUAAAUUUCUCUAGAGCAGGUUGUGUGUUACUUUAGGCAUCUUCUCAAUCUUAUGCCAUUUGAAGAUAAAUUCUUUCUAGCCACCCCCAUCAACCCCAAAGCUCAUGCCAUGGUUUUUGCCAUUGGAGACAGAGUGGAGGGACGAUGUGCAAAACUAUUUCUCAAGUACUUAACUAAAAUUUAUUUUUAUAUUAGGAUAUUUCUGAUAAAGCUAUGUAUCUAAAGAAAUAAAUGGUGAGUUUAAUAUGCUUAUUCAUUAUGUAUUUGUUCUGAUAUUUGUUGUGUGCAUAUUAUAUGAAGGAUGAAGUACAACUCUGACUCAUAAAGCGGGGGAUAUGGCCAAUAGUGAGCGAAGCUGCUUUGAAUAAGCUGUUGAUGCUGCCAAAUAUGUUGGGUCUUUCUGCCCAUCCAUUGUUGGUAGGGUCGAGCUCCUAACUUUCAUUCCUUCAGAGACUGUUAGUGUAGUGGUAAAUUUGUUGAGAUUAAGCUAUUGAUUAACUUAACACACAAAUCAAGAGUCGCCACCACGCUUUUACUGUGCCCAAAGGAAAAGGGAAAAAGUACGAACAAAACCCAAAGAAGUUUUAAAAUAAAACUAAUAAAAAGAGAAUAAGGGUCUGGGGGUUAGUUAUGAAAAGGGAAUGUAUUAUCACCCUAAACAUCCAUGGUACUCCAUGGGAACCUCCUUGAAAAUAUGUAUAUUUUGGUUUGAGAAAGGGUGUUGUUUGUUAAAAGAUGGGAGAGAUAGUAAAAGAAGUAUAUUUUUCUUAUUUUUAUGUUUGUCAUGACUUUUGAAGUCUCAUACCUACGUACCAACAAAGUGCAAUGGAGGAUCAAAACCUCGUAGUUCAUGGUAAAAGUAACAAAGGGAGUUUGUUUUGAUUCAUUUUUAUGGAAAAGGCAUUUUGUCAUUUUAAGGAGAAUACUCAACUAGUCACCCACAAGUAUGAGAACUCUGCAUCAUCAUGAGAAGGACUCCAACUUGGAUAAGGAUCAACAAGUAUGCCACUAGCUCCCACAAAUGGAAAAGAAUUAUCAUCUAUACUAUGGAGAUAGGAGAAUUAUAUCUCAACUAUGAAAAUCACUCAUGUUUAACACCUUGAGAAAAGUUUUUAAAAGGAAAAAUGCACAAGGGCACAAAAUGGUUUGUAUGAGUUAGGCAUUUUUAGUCUUUUGAAAUUGGACUAAAUAUGAUUAAGAUGGAUUAACAUUUAUUAAGAAAAAGGUUUUGAAAAUCACUUAACAAAGGUCAAGGUUUAUUGAGAAAAAAGAUUCAAGUUUGAAAAACAAAAAGGUUUUGGAAAAGAGAGGAGAUUUUGAAAAUCAAAGAAGGGGGAGGAGAAGAAGAGACUAUCAUAGAGAAAAAAAAGUAAAAGCUAGGGAGGAAAGAUCUAACCAAGAAAAGGCAAGCUUUAUGACAUAAGUCAAGCAAUAAUUCCCUCAUUUGGAUUAAGCCUCAAGCAAGCAAAUAAUAAGCAAAUGAUAAUCCAUUUAUUAGAUGAAACCAAAGUAACCAAACCAAGUCUUCAUAGAGAAGUCCAAAGUCAUAGGUAUCAGAUGAAUCCCAAGGUCUCAAAUCUCAUGUCCUAAAGCAAAGGUCUAGAUCCUAAUUCUAAGUCCAUAAGUCCACAAUGAUGCCAAUGAUAGUAACCACAAGUCCAUGAGUUAGGAGAAACAAAUUUCUUUAAUAGGUUAUUCUUAUUAAUGUUUUAUUUACAAUGAUAUAAAAGAAUAAUCCAAAUGGACAAAGAACAAAUGAAAAAAAUCAUAAAUAAUAUGAUAUGAAAUGCUAAAUAUAAAGUAUAAAGUAAAUAACAUUAAAUAAAAGCAUACAAUAAAUGACAUUAAAAUAGAAUUUAAUACAAGUAAAGAGUUAGUAAAAGAUGUUAGUGAAUAUGAAAAGAUGUUUUGGUCAUUUUUUGGAGAACACUCAACUAUCCACUCACAAGCAUGAAAAUCUGAACCUAUACAUCAUUUAUGAGAAAGGCUCUAACUUGGAUAAAAUCAACAAGUAUGCCACUAGCUCUCACAAAUGGAAAAGGAUUAACAUUUUCACACAAUACCAUGAGGAGUAGGAGACUUACAAUCUCACUUAUAAAAAUGCCUUUGUUUCCUUUGGGACAAAUUUAGCGCUAUGUUAAGCAAUCGUAAUUGGACUUAUGUAGAAGUCACAACUAUCUGAGGUCGAUCAAUAAUAAUUUUUGUGUUAAUACAUGCUAGAGAAAUGAUAUGUAAAUUAUUCUCCUAAAGCCAUGUCAUACAAAAAAGAAAAAAAAAAGAGAUGAUCAAGCGCAAAGGCUAGAAGGAUGGUCAAUUACUUCAUUCCACACUUCAUGAUACCUAGGAUGAACUUAUGCAUCAAUAUAAAGUACCUUAAAUGAUCUAUGAUCAAUUAGGAGGUAGAUUUGAAAUGAUGAAAGUUCAUCAAACACCAAUCUAUACAUCAUGAACAAGAUGUACACAAGUCAUCCAAUUGAUCAAAGGGAAAAGAAAGAGAUGAAGAAGAAGGGGACAAGAGAGGUCACACCCAAAUUGGAUCAAAAAUUUGGUCAACUCAUCAUCAAAAUCAAUCACCCAUUUUGGUGGAUUAGGGUUUUCACCCCAUCAACAUCCAAGAUCCAUUGAGUUUGAUGAGACUUAAAAUCAAAACCAUCAUGAUCCAAGACCAACAGAAGUUCACAAGGUCACACAAAUACAAAAUACAAUUAAAUGAAAUAAAAAUGGGUCAAAGGUAUUUUUUAAUAAUUUUUAAAAUAGAAAUAAAAUGGAAAAUCCAUAAAGUUCUUCAAAACACCAAAUAAAUAUCCAGGAAAAUUAUGGAAGGUUGGAAAUAAAAUAAGAAACAUAUAAUAAAAUUUUCAGAAUGUUAAAAUACAGAAAAGUAUUUUGAAACCAAUUAAAAUAAUGGAGAAAAGAGAAAAUUCAUGAAAAAUAGAAAAUCAGUGAAAUAAAAUGUUAAAAAAUAAAAAUCAGAUGAAGAAAAAUAAAAGAGAAAUUUAUAAAUUAUUUUGGAAUUUUUUGGAUGAAAACUGAAAUUACUAUGAAUUUUUAAAGAAAAAACAAUUUUAAAAUAAUAAAAGAAAAAGAAUUGUAAUCAGAAAAAACACGGAGCGUUGGAUCAUGCCUCAUUAAUUGACGUGGCUGAUCCAACACUCCAAAGGUUAGGAUGUAUGAUGGAACACGCUGCCAGCCAAACACAGGAUCCAGUUUAAAUCCAACCAAUCAAAAAUUUCAUUCUGUCAACGUGUCUGGUUCAAACUCAGACAAUCUGAGAAAGCUUCGGUCGUCUUCUCGGUGAGCUGUCACCGGAGUUUCAUCAUUUGGUAAAUUCAAUACAUGAGACCACCACCAUUUUGAUCCUCUUCGCAUCCCGAAUUCAACCUCAUACUCCAAAUUCAUUUAUGUGAACUGAGCAAAGGAAAUUUCAGAGAAGUUUUAGAAACAAGCAAGUCAAGAAAAAUAAAAUUAAAUGAUGAACAUGAUCAAUCAACACCACAUAAGUUAUGUGAAAGCAUUAGAGAGUGAAGGACUACAUUGUGGUAGCUUGUUUGAGUUCAAAUGAUGCUCAGAACUACCUUAUACAGAUGGUGAUCAGAAGUUGAUGAAGCUCAAUCUGGUUAGAGCACUUUAGGAGGUCUCGGAGCUUGGGAAUUAUGCAAACGUUUCAGAGGAUGCUAAAGAUGCCAAUGGAAUCAAGAAAUUGAAUUGAAACAAGCUGAAACUCAAAACAUAAUAAUUGAAUUUUCUAGAAAAAUUUCAAGUUGUAGCAGGGCUUUCUUGGCUCUCAAAAGCUUGCAAAUUAAGGCAAUAACUUCCUCUAUUUGUAGGGAAUGUGUUUGGAUCCAAAUAUGUAUGGAAUGAUGCAGAAUUCGUGCAAAAUGAAAUUGAUCAAAAUGUGUGAAAAGUGUGACUUGAAACUCACAAAAACUCAGCCAAAUGAUGCGUUUUAAGUGUCAAUUAACUUCUAGAGACUUCAUAAAACAUAUUUAGGACCAAAACACUUGAUAAUUUGGCUUGGAAUUGAGAUUAGUCAUGAACAAAUUUCGGACAAUGGUGAUUUCUUCAAUUUCAAGUCACCAUGUUCAACUCAAUAGGGCAUCCUACUCAAGAGGCUUUCUGAUCCCAUUCUUUUUGCAACGUAUUAACAUCAUGGCCAAGAUUAAAAUGUGCCAAGAAAGGUUGCAUUUGGAUGUUUGAGUACAAAGUUAUGGCAUGUUGAAGUUGGCAUGAAAAACUGGUUAUAUAACUUCGAAAAGUUUGAGUGCUUCAUGGCUGAAAAUGACUUAUAAUGUCCCAAUGAUUUUCAUGACAUUCCAAGCACAUUUUGACCUUGGUUCUUGAAGCAAACUUGUAGAUGGAAUCACAAAUUACAAUGUGCAAAAAUAAUCAGCUCCAUAUGAUAAAAAGUGAAUAAGUUAUGAUCCUUGAAAGUUGGGAAAAAGUCACUUGAAAAUAGGUCAAAUUUCACAAUCCACAAAUGACCUAUAAUGUCUCCCAACUUUUGAUGAUUUUCCAAUCAUAAUUGGCUCUUGUCAUGUAAAUAGAAGUGGUAGAGGAUGUUUAGAAGAGUAAUAUUCAAAAAUAAGCAUUAAAAAAUAUUGAGAAUUGAAGGAGUUGUGAUCUUUUGAACUUUGACUUCAAAAUGUUGACUUUUAGGUCAAACCACUUGGAACAAGCUUAUGUACUUAGACUUUCCUUGAAUUUUAAAGUACAUGGGUGAUCAUAUGAACUCAAGAUAAGAUGUCCUUGAUUUUCUCUUGAUUAAAUUUCUCAAAGCUUGAAGUUUAUUGUUGAAGAAGACAUGGAAAUAAACAUAUGAACCUUUGUCUUUCUUUGAGAAGCAAGCCAUAGAAGUUUGAGAUGUUCUUGAUUUGAAAAGCACUACCUUGCACAAUAGACUUAAGGGAAACAAGACAUAUUUUUGGUAUUUUGAUCAUGUGGUUAGAUAAGCAAUCAAUCAUGUAAACACAAAGGCAAAACAAACCAACAAUGAGGUGUUUGGUGAUCCCUGCAAGAAGCAAACCCAAAUAUGGAUAAGGGAAGGGAGAAGAUGUGAUCUUGUUUGUGUGCAAAUGAUGCAAAUUAUAUGUGGGAUAUUAGGGUUUAAAAAUUAGGGUAUGAAAAUUAGUCCCUCCUUUGGGAGAGUAUUAUGCAUAUCUAGCCAAUCUAACCAGGAUUUUCAUAGAGGAACAACUGGCUACUCUGGCUCGGCAUACCCAUCGUGCUUCUGCUGUCUUAGACCUUGGUAGAACAGGUCGUUGGGAAGUUUUCUGGUCAAACCAAUGACGUGCUGAGAAGCACCGACUAGAGGAAAGUGUUUACAAUUUGAAUCUUCAACAAGAUAGGUACCUAUAGGAAAUAGAUAAUGCUUUUAUCUCUCUUAUCGGGGUAAGAGAUUCUUUGCUCCCCCUUAAUCAUGUUGGUUCUCUCUCUAACCAUGACUCAUCUAGUGAAGACUAUGUCGAGGAAGGACUAGGUUCUAACUUCUAUUUGGGGAAGCUUGUCAUCUGCUCAAGGGGAAUGAUAGUCUUUGCACCUUCAGAAUAUUUCUCUAACUCAACAAUUGUCUGAUUGUACGAGUGCUACCCUUAAGGAAGCUUCCCACUCAUUUGAGAAUAUUUUGUAGUAAGUAGAGCAUUUUCAUCAUUCUCUAGUUUUCUCGAGGGAGAAAAUUUGGUCGGUUCAAAUGUUCAAAGAUGGAUGUAUAAUUUAUUUGAGGAAUUAGCAUUAUCGGCCACUUUUUUAUGUACUUUGCUUGUAGUACUGAUGUAAUGGACGAAUAUAUGUAAAUGUAUUGUAGUUUUUGGAAUGAAAUACUUUGUUUACCUAUUUAAGGUAUAUUCGUGUUAUUCUGAGUGCAAGGCUCUGGAUGUACAUUGGUAUGAUCCUGAGUGCAAGGCUUCGGAGUUAGUAAGAACUUACAAGCUCUUCCCUCAAAGUCUAUUGGACAUCACUGGGGCCAUUCCCGGCCAAGGUUCAGCUCCUCUUUCCCCACAAGAUAAAAAUUUGGUCAGGGGUAGACUUGUGGCCAAACUACCGCAGCCUCUAGAGUGGCUAGCUUCCAGAAAAGGGUGGACUGUUAUUUCUAGUAGGAGAUUGAUUAUUCUAUCCAAAAAUGAAAAACGUCACCAACAGAAACCCCGACACUAGGUGGGGGUUGAUUACUUUAGCUGAACGUACAAGGCAUCUCCCACAAUACCCCUUACUUUAUGUGAGGGAUUGAUUCUUGUAACCUAACAUGCAAAGCGUCUUUGACAACACCCACAACUUUAUGUCGGACAUGCAAAGCGCCUCCGACAGAACCCUUGAAUUUAGGUGGGGUAUUGGUUGCUUUAGUCAGAUGCGCAAAGUGCCUCCGAUAACUGAAGGAGAAUAGCGAUCCAAAACACAAGGGAAUUUAAAUUUUUUCUCCUUUAGUGAUCCUUACAAAUGGGCAUGAUUAGUGAUAGAAUCGUUACCUCUUGUGGUGAUUGAAUCCUUUGAUGCAAAUCUAAGGAGUGAUCACGAACGUUGAAUGGUGACAAUGCCUCUACUCAGUCCACACGAACGGAUUUCUUCAAUUUCAGUGCUAGCUGCUACGAAUAAAGGCUUUGAGAGAGAGAGAGAAAUGAAAUUUUUAGCUGUCCCAAUGCUUCUGCACAAGGGUUCUAUUUAUAGAACCACUUGUGUGGGCUGUAAGCUAAAAAGCUCACUUAAGUGUAUGUGGCCCAUAUCUUAUGAUAUACCAAAGUCACUUAAGCGCGUGGUACCUUACCAUAUUUCAUAUUCUACUUAAGUGCACAGUAUCUUACGAUGUUCUACAAUUCACUUAAGUGCAUUGUACCUUACGGUGUUCCUUAUUUACUCUAUCUCUCAUCAAUCCGUCAUUUUAUGUGUGACCCUGUAGGUUUUCGCGGCAUUGGCAAUUAUAUUAAAUCACGCAUUUAACAUAAUAAACAGUGACCGGUAUCUAGCAACACAUCACUGCUACCCAAGACACGAAAAUUUCAUGUGAUAUGACAAAACCUUUUUGUGAUAAUACUUAUGUGUACAAUUACCCUUUUUCUCUUAUGUCUAUAUUGAACACAAGGCAUAGACCAUGUCAUCCUUGUCCAGUUCAAUAUUGGGCCCGUAGACAUUUAUCUUGUUACGCAGGAUGGCCAAAUUCCAUCUAGGUCACUCAUGUCCCUUAGCAUGUUUCAUGGAGUACCCAUUAACUGUCUUUAUGGUCAUCCAGUUACGGACAACGUUUGAUCAGCAAUAAGGCACUCGACUCUACAUCUAGGGUCCAUAGUAGUUUCAGGUUGAAGGGUGGUAUACAUCAUUAUCACCAUGAGAAUAACUUAUGACACUUUGCAUAACAUUCUAUAUAGUAUUCUCAUAGCGGGUCAAUCCAGUAUAAAUAUUACUCUUAAUAUUCAUACCUAUGUUUAUAUAUAGUAUUCUCAUAGCGGGUCAAUCCAGUAUAAAUAUUACUCUUAAUAUUCAUACCUAUGUUUAAGACUUGAUAACUCCUUAUCCAUGAUCCAUGAGAUGUGAUUAUCAGUCUAUAUACAUAAUAAUCUUAAUAUUUUAAUGUUAUCCAACUUCACAACAAAGCUCUACUAUGGAUACUUUAAGAAUAAUGUCCUUAUGUUUAAUGGGAUCUCAUGAUUAAGUCACACUUGAUACAUUAAACGGACUAGCUAUUCUAGGGACUUUAUUAAACAAACAUAAUAAAGAAAAAUGCCUUUUAUUAUUAAUAAAUAAUUCGAUAUAAGUACCAAAAGUAUUGACCUCUAGGGCUUACACUAACAAUAACAUCCCUGAUUUCUUUAUGUCGGGUUUAGAUCCUGCCAGUUGUAACCUGGAUUUACUAUUAAGAUGCACAACCAUAAAGAAACAAAUAUUUUAGAAAUUAGCAUUUUUCAUUCAUAAUUGAUAGCUCAUGUGUAUGAAGAUGGGAAUUAUAUAACAUUUAGUACUAAACAAGAAAGAAAACAUAAUUGGGCAGAUUAGCUGCCACUUAUUUUCCCUAUUUUACUCCUUAUGGUUCAACCAAGUCUUGGUGGGAGGAUAUUCAUGUCUCGGAGUUGGACAAUCAGGAAUACUACGUUGAUCUCCAUGGCCACACCCUCUCCCUAGUCUCGCUAGAGUUCUUGUUAGAUUCUUUUUGCACCUUUGAGAUCAACGUUGAUGGUGGCUGGUUCUCCCUACAAGUUAUGAUAUUUGAGUUUGAGGUGUAUUAGAGAGGCUACUGAAACUUCAUAUGUGUCUUAUUAGUUUAUCAGUUAAUCUUAUUUUAAUUAUUUUGUUAUUUUAUUUUAUCGUAUUUUUUAGUUUCCUCAUUGAUUAUCUCAUACACGUGAAAGAAACUUUAUUUACGUGCAUAAAAUGAAAUGUUGACUUAAGUCAACUCUGAAUUAUCCUAUUCAAAGGUUAUUGUGAAUAAUUUCAAGAAAGUUGAGUGAUUGAAUAUAUUCAAAAGUAUUGGUGAAUAGAUUCAUGAAAUUUUACAAAAAUUGGUUUUAAUUCCAUUUGCUAUAAUCAAUUCAAAAAAACUGCCUGAUCUUAUUCAAGUGAAUCAAUUCAUAAAAUUCUUGAUCAUAUUCAUGACGGAUUUCUCAAAACCAUGUUUGAUUCUGUUUGCUAAAAUUGAUUCAAAAACACCUCUGAUCCUGAUCAAAUGUUUGUCACGGCUUGGUUCAAAUACAUUGUCUGAUCUUAUUCAGUCUGGUGUUGAUCCUAUUCAACUGUAUGUCUUGAAGUGGUUCAAAUACAAUGUCUGAUCCUAUUCAAACUUGCUUUGAUCCUAAUCAUUUUUUCAACUAACUUUCACCAUUUGAAUUGAUUCAUCAUUAACUUUGAGCAUGAUCAUUGAAGAUGAUUUUCACUCAUUUUUAGUGCAUAUUUCUUGCACAUAUAAAUAACCUUUUCCUCUCUAAAAAUCAAAGAGUGAUCAAAUAUUUUUGAGAAAAUAAAAUGCUUAAAAAAUACACCUUCAUCUCUAUCAAUUCUCCAACUUCAUUUUUUUCAUGGAGAAUCAUCAACUCUUGAUUAUGUGUGACGCUUGAUUAUAAGGAAACAUUAUAGUACUAAUUGUUCAUUGAAGUGUGUAGUUUUCCAGCAUAAUUUUGAUCAUAGGUAAUUCAAGGUUGAAGUUCCUAUAGAGAGAGAGAGAGAGAGAUCUUAUCUAAGUUGUAGAAUUUUUCAUUGUUUCUGUCAACCUGUUCAAGAAGAAGUACUCAAUGCUUGAAAUUCAGUAUCGAGUGAAGAUUAUUGAAUUUUUAAGAUUAAAAAAAUGGAUCCAAGGUUUGAAGCUUGGGAUUGAGUGAAGAUCAACAAGUAUUCAAUAUUGAAGUUUAUCAAAGGUCGAAGAUCAAGAUUCAUGAAAAUAAAGUGGUAGUUAUGGUAGCUUGUUACAAACAUGACUCAAUUAGGAAGCAAUGAAGAAGAUAACUUGGAUUAAGAAGUUUAUCUUUUUUUUUCAUUUAAUUGUUGUAACCAAAAACAAACUCAAAUAUCAUAUUAAUGGAAGAUACAAUUUUUUGCUAAUUUACCAUCGAAGACUAGACGUAGGUGCCUGCGAGGACGAUAUCACCGAAAUAGUAUAUAUAUUAUGGUGCACUCUCUCCUUAUCUCUCUAAAUAUCUUUCUUUAUCAUUCAAGUUGCAUGCUUGUGUUAGCUGUUUCGAUUUAUAGUUUACAAUUACAUUAUUCAUAGGUUUAUUGUGUUCAUAGUUUUAAUUUGUAAAAGCUUAGGUUUGAUAAGAAUUGGUUUUCGAACUAAUCUUGUUAUUGAUUAUUCUGUGAGAAUUGUAAUUAAAUUUGCUUUCGAUUGAUAAAUUGUUAAAAGCAUUAAACAUCUUGUUUGAAGCUUUAACCAUUAAUUAGUAUAAUUUCUAUUAUAUCAUUACAAACCAUUAAUGUGUGUAUAGUGUAACACCAUAAACCUUAAAACUUAUCUAUUAAGCUUUACUCGAUAAUUUAAGGUGUCACCAACGACAAUCCUUUAACAACACAAAUAUUUAAUAAACCUGCAAUGGAAAAAUAUUCACGUUCAUAAAACACAUGCCAUCGCACGCUUACCUUCACUUAGGAUAUCAUUGCGGCAACAUCGUUUAACUCAAAUAAUAAAACUUUGUCAACUCAGACUUCUACUAUCAAUUCCAAUUUAACAUAAAAUAGCUUCCAAAAUAAUGAGUUAUCAUGUGCAACUCUCCACAACUUCAACAAAACACAAAAUAAUCCAAAUAAACUUUAAAUAAAACAUAAUAAGAAAUAAUUGUUCCCAACCCCGAUGUUACAGGAUCAAAGCAACUUCUGGACAACGAUAAACUAAAGAAUUGACUCCAUGAGCUAACUCCCACUUACUGCAGCAAUAUACUCCUGAGUAUCUGCAAGAUGUCCACGGUGGAUAACAUUCAGCAAGAGGGUGAAAAACAACAUUCAAUAUAAAUAGUGUAAAGAAUUCUAAGGUAGAAAAACAUACAACAAAUAUAAGUUCAUUAUACAAUCAACAACCAUAUAUUCUCACACUCAUUUAGCAUAACGUACCCAUCUUUUCAACCAAACGACUACAUCAGGAAUAAUUAACAACAUAUAAAAGCAUGUAUGUAAUGCACUCAAUAAUUGACUCAUUAUGCAUGUGGUACCAAUCAUGAACACUCAGGUUCAUCUCACUCUCGAUCUCCACCAUAGGACCAAAUCGUUACCAUCACCAUAGGUAACGCUUCACCGAUUUCCACCUGAAACCAACUACUCGCACCCGAUCCCUACCACAGGAUCAGAGCAUACCAAAACUGGACCAAGGUCCAUACACCAUGAUGCAUGGCUUUCAACCGCAUGCAAUGUCACCAAAUUAUCACCAAAAUUAUCACAAAAAAUUAUCACCAAAACUAUAACAAAAAUUAUAAUCCAAAAUUAUAACCAAAAUUAUUUUGACAAGAGUGUUUUUAAAGAACUCUUUCUCUACUAUUAUAAAACAAUGUCAUGAAUCCAAAUUUACUAAGAAUCUCUGCUGAUAGCCAAAGUUGUACACCAUUCUAUGCUACAAAUCCAUUUGACUGCAAUUCUUACGCUUAAGAGGAGGUUCAUCACGUUACUAAUUUCUACCGAAUGUCAAUUAAUCUAUUGAAUAUUAUAUGACAAUUAAACAUAAAUAUAUUAUAGUUUUUCAUCAAUUCAUCAUAUUCAUGUGAGAAUAUUCAAGAUCCAGUUUUUUUUAACACUGAAUUUCACAUAAUUUUAUUUUCCUUUUUUUUUCUUUCAUUGACAUAUUAAAAUCAAAAUUAUGCAUACAGUCUCAUAUAAAUAGUUUUCCCCCUUACUUUGUAACUCCAGAAAAUUCAGCAAGAUGAAGUUCAAGUGAUAUAUUCUCUCAAGUCCUACCACUCCUUUUCAAAAACCUUGUUUCUCUAUUUUUCUCUUUUUCACGUACCGAUAGAAUGAGUCUAUUUCCCUAAUAUUCUAGAAUAUAUUAUUCUAAUUGCUUUUGCGUAAUUAUUAUUAUUACCUAACUAAUUUUCAACCUCUUUUCUCUUACCAUAUAUUUCUCUCAAAUCACACAAUUGGCCGAAUUAUCACAUUUCUAUUUUAUUUAAAUAACUCAAGUAUAAUAUUAUUUAUUCUAAGAAUUAAUUAUUUCUAAAUUAAUUCUAUUCACUUCUAAGUUCUCUCCACACACCCACCUCAAUGGCAUAUAAUCCAUUAUCAUAUAAUACACAAUUAAAUCACACAAAAUGCAUAAACAGAUCAAAUAAAAUAAUCUAACCGAAACGAGGUGUUCCGAAACGAGGUGUUACAUGUAGUAUCCAUCUUUUUCUAAUAUCUUAAAACCAUUUUAAAACAUAUUUUUCAUCAUAUUCGUUUUCGCUUGCGUAAUCUGAAUUUUAAAUCGAAAAUAAUGGAUUUUUUAAUUGUCUAUUCAACCCAUUGUUAAUUGCAAAUUGCCUUCUGAAUAUCCUUCUCGUCGCCCAUUGUUAUUCUUAGCUCCAUGUAUCCCCACGGAUGAAUGGUUAUUCCGUUAAAUGCCUACAAAUGCGAGGCUUCAUAUGACCAUAAGUUUCUCCUUUAGAGGUUCAUCUUUUCAAACAUCUUUGAGUAUAUUAUUUUGCAAGAACUUCCAUUGUCAAUUAAUAUCUGGGAGUUGUCGAAUUGCCCAAAUUUGGUUAUGAUUACUAGAGGAAAAGUUUCAUUAGGGACGCCACCCACCUUCUCGAAGUCCCAGAAUCUCAACAAAUGUUGGUCAGGAAUCUUCAUUGAUGUGUUUCUAUCUUUUUUGUGGACAACUAGCAUCUUAGCUAUUUUCUGCUUCAUGGUCCCUUUGGAUGGGAGGUUUACCUGAGGUGCUCCUUCGGUUAUGGCGGAGAUGUACACAUAUUUCCUUUGUUGGCCUCUUUGCUCUCACCAAUGGUUUCGACAUUUACGGUAUUCGAGGGAGAUUUUCCUUUAGACAACUCUUCCAUGUCUCUUUUCCCCAUUGACAUAUUCGACCAGUCAUCCGUCUUGAUCAAUGUUCCAAUGACAUCCUUCAAUUGGAUGUAGUUGUCGGUGUUAUGGUCACGACUUUUAUGAAAGUAACAAUAUGUUGACUUGUUUAUCUAAGAUGUCUCUCUAACUAGGUAAGCGGUCGGAUUCCUCCCUUCUUGAAUUGUGUGUUGAUAUAAUUCUGGUAGAUCUUUUCUCGAGAAACAGUCAGAGAGGUAUACUUGUUGUACUGCCCUUGCAGACUUCGGUCGGAGAUACCCUUCUUUCGGUGGUACUCCUUCUGUAUUGGAUGGAUGGAGUUGGUAUGAGAGGAGACGGGAUUUUCAAAGUGCGUGCUUAACUUCUCUUCCAAUGUCAUGUACGACUUAGCCAUGCUCAACAUUUCUUGAGUGGUUUAAAUUUUCUUCCUUCCCAUAUUUAACUUGAAGGGAUGGUCGUUUAGAAGGCCAUUUUCAAAUAUCCAACACUUAAGCACCUCUUCAACUCAUUCAACUUCAAUGACCACUUGAUUAAUUCGGUCGAUGCAAGACCAUAAUAUUUCCUUCUUACCUUGGACAAUUCCUCUCAAAGUGGAUUCAAUCAUCGAUCAUCGCGUCCGGGCAGUGAAAUGCAUGGAUAUUAGGUCACAAAAAUAAGUCCAUGACUUAAUGAACUCAUCGAGAAGGUCGUUGAACAAUAAUCUGGUUGGUCUGACUAGGGAUAGGGCAAACAACCUGCACUUAGAUGCAUCAUCGACAUUGUAGUAGUUCAACCGCUCCUUGACGAGUUGCAAGUUCUCGUCAGGAUCUCCUUUUCCAUCAUAAUCGCCCAUAUUGGGUGGUUUCUCCAUAGACUUUGGUAUCUUAAUUUCCAAAUAUUUAACACACAAUGGAUAAUUUGGCUUCACCUUCAUCGAUUGAUUUUCUUCCCAAUCUGGGGUAGGGGCAUAACAACCUCUAUCUCCCUCGGUGCUUUAUGAAGGAAUGUGAUGUCUCAUACUCCUCUGCCGAUCUCUUGGUUUAAGAGCUUCUUCCUUCUUUAUCCCAAUUGGCUCCGGAACAACAACACGAAUUCUUCUUGAUACGACUUUCUGGAUGGUGUUUCCUCGUGGAGGCGCAUUGUGAAGGUUUUCUUUAAGGCACAAUAGUCUUUCUUCUAACACACAAAAUUUAUGGUGCUGAACAAUAUUAUACAUGUUAUUCAACAGCACAUUAGCAUCAUGCAGUCCUAGGUUUUCUCGCAGUAACUAGAAACUAGGCAAGAUUUUUUAUUGUGUAAUAGUAGGAGGUGGAAAUGUGGUCCAAUCAGAGGAAAUUCGACAAAUCCAACUAUUUGAGGUGUUUGAACUAGGUCUAGAUGUAACAUAAUCACCAAUUCUAGAUUCACAAAGCUUUGCUGAGGAAGUGAAGGUAGAGGUUGUUGAUUGAUCAUUGUUUGAGAAGUGGAAGCAACUUCACGUACAACGAAGGAUUGAGUAGCUAUGGAUCCAACCAUCACUUGAAAUCAUAGGAAUUAUAGAUCUGGAAGAGAUAUGGAAAUUAAAAGAAAUCAAAGUUGACAUGACUCUCGAUUAUAUUGGGUGUUAAGGAUCUUCAAGUUCAAUUAUGAAUGCUUUUGAUUUAGUGAUCUAAGAAUAUUACAAACUAACUAAUUGGAGAGAGAACAUGGAAUUAUUGUUGGGCUCAAUUUCGAGGGGGGGGGGGCAAUAUGAGGGAAUAUUUUUACUUUGGGGCUUUUCUUUAAGAGCAACACACCUUUGUGAGAGACACACUACAUACUCACCUAAAACCUUAAGGUGAUAUGUGUGUGGGUUCUCUCACUUGUAAAUGCUCAAGUUUCCAUAUUCAUAACCAACGUGGGACUUCCCCAUAAUGCUUACACUUAGACACAACUACAGAAAACACAUAUCACAACAGUUGGAAAAGGGAUACCACCAUACUGAACCAACUGUUGUGAGGUAAGGUGUGAUUGUAUGUACGAUGCUUUCCACCAUGGUCGUGCAUCCAUGGUUAUAAGCUAUGUAGCACGGUACCUACCACAACGGUUACUUUAAACAACCAUUGUGAUAUUCUAUAAUGCAUAAUAUUUAACAACGGUUUGUAUAAACAAUCGUUGUGAAAUAUACAACUGAGUUUAUUAUAAAUUAUAUGAAAUGCUUAUUUCGCCAAUUCUCACUAAACAUAUAACCUUUCAAUAUGAUCUAGAAAAUUAUAAUAUGAUAAAUUAAGUUAUAUUAUAAGAACAAGUUCAAGUUUAAUACUUGACAAGAGUUCCUCAAAUCCUUAUCCACAUUUUUCUCUUUAACAGUUAAAACUUUGUUUAAUGAUUGUAGAUCUCCAAUCGUCCCUUCCUACACCUCUAGUUCAUUUUUCAAAAUAUCAUUUACUUUGCAAACAAAAUUAGAUAUGGAGAGAGGGGUGAUUGAAGAUCUACAAUCACUAAAUAAAGCUCUAACUAUUAAAGAACAAUAUGCAGAUAAAAAACUAAAGAAUUCUUGUCAAGAAUUGAAUGUGUACUUGUUUUCUAAUAUAACUUUAUCUAUCUUAUUAUAAUUUUCUAAUGCAAUCUAAAAAGUUAUAUAUUCGAUAAGAGAUUGGAAAAAUACUCAAACCACAUAAUAUAUAAUAAACUCAUAUUUUAAGCAAACAUUAACAACAACAUUCAUCAACAACAAACCAUAAACAACAUACAUGAUACAACAAAAAUAUCAAAUCAAAGAAUGUUUCAGAAUCUUACAUGUCCCAUGAUGGCAUCCACAAUGAAAUAAGGAUGAAGCUGAAGUUAGAAUUGCAAACUUGUGUCUAUUUUGAAUGGAUGUCAUUCUGGGUCUUUCACACAAGUUUGCAACGUUCACUUUAACUUUGUCCUCGUUAUUGAAAUAAGCAUCCCUACCUACAUAAUGAAACAAGCAGGAAGUUGAAACAUGAUGACACAUAAACAAUAAUAGAGAAACUAAUUUUGAAAUAUAAUUUAUAGUGAAGUCGAACCUGUAAAAUAACCAUUUGCUAAGAUUUGAUAAAAGAAAGGAAACCUUCGAAUAAGACGAGUUGGCGGGAGAAGAUUGGGGUUUCAAUAUAAGAGAGACAAGAUACAAAGAUGUUAGGGUUUAGUUUUGAGAGAGACGAGUGAAAGAGAUGUUAGAGUUUUGUUUUGAGAGAGACGACUGUAAUGAACUGAAAGAGAGAUAAUUUUUCUCAUAUAUAAACCAGUAACAUCUUUCAUCACGGUUGACAAUGAUAAGUAUGACGAAAUAAUUGAAACUUACACCACGGUUGAUUAUAAAAAUUAUGGUGAUAUACAAGGCCAAACACAUUAUGUCACAAUAAAUGGAAAAUUGUUGGUGCUGAGAUUUGAACCAUUUUACUCCAGAUACCUUUCACUACAGUUGAUACCUAUGACCGUUGUGAAAUGUCCUUUUGUAAAUACAAAAAAAAAGUGCUAAAAAAACUAUUACAAUGGUUAACAGGAAGACCGCUGUAAAAUUGGUGUUACGAAAGGUCUAUUUUGUAGUAGUGGUAAUUCUUUUUUAACACUUUCCCUCAAAUGUGAAUCCACAAUUCUCCUCAUUAAGUGGAAACUUUUUUAUCCACAUACACGUGUACCAUCGUUGACACUUUUCAAUGGGCUACCUCCUUCCCAGUAGGGAGUUUCAAUAUAAGUAAGUUGAUCCCUUUACUUGAACCAAAGGCUCAUGAUACCAUUGUUGGGGUUACAAAUCGAAGGGUGUCAACACGAGGGAGCAUUUUUACUCUGGGGAUUUUCUUUAAGAGUAACACACAUUUGUGAGAGACACACCACAUACUUACCCAAAACCUUAAGGUGAUAUGUGUGUGGAUUCUCUCACUUAUAAAUGCUCAAGUCUCCACAUUCAUAACCAACGUGGGACUUCCCUACACUACUUACACUUGUACACUAUUACUGAAAACACAUAUCACAAUGGUUGGAAAAUGGAUACCACCAUGCUGAACCAACCAUUGUGAGGUAAGAUGUGAUUGUAUGUACGAUGCUUUCCACCAUGGUCAUACGUAUGUGAUUAUAACCAAUGUAGCAUGGUACCUACCAUAACAAUUACUUUAAACAACCGUUGUGAUAUUCUAUAAUGCAUAAUAUUUAAUAAUGGUAUGUAUAAACAAUCGUUGUGAAAUAUACAACUGAGUUUAUUAUAAAUUAUGUGGAAUACUUAUUUCGCCAAUGCUCACUAAACAUAUAACUUUUCAAUCUGAUCUAGAACAUUAUAAUAUGACAAAUUAAGUUAUAUUAUAAGAACAAGUUCACGUUCAAUACUUGACAAGAGUUCCUCAAAUCCUUAUCCUUAUUUUUCUCUUUAAUGGUUAAAACUUUGUUUAAUGAUUGUAGAUCUUCAAUCGUCCCUUCCUACACCUCUAGUUCAUUUUACAAAAUAUCAUAUACUUUGCAAACAAAAUUAGAGGUGGAGAGAGAGGCGGCUGAAGAUUUACAGUGACUAAAUAAAGUUAUAAGGAUUAAAGAAUAAUAUGCAGAUAAAAAACAAAAGAAUUCUUGUCAACAAUUGAACGUGUAAUUGUUUUCUAAUAUAACUCUAUCUAUCAUACUAUAAUUUUCUAAUGCAAUCUGAGAAGUUAUAUAUUCGGUAAGGGUUUGUAAAAACACUCAAACCACGUAAUAUAUAAUAGACUCAUCUUUUAAGCAAACAUCAACAACAACAACAUUCAUCAAUAAGAAAUUAUAAACAACAUACAUGAUACAACAAACAUAUCAAAUCAUAGAAUGUUUCAAAAACUUACAUGUCCCAUAAUGGCAUCCACAGUGAAAUAAGAAUGAAGUUGAAGUUAGAACUGCAAACUUGUGUCUAUUUUGAAUGGAUGCCAUUAUGGAUCUUUCACCCAAGUUUGCAACAUUCACUUUAGCCUUGUCCUCGUUAUUGAAACAAGCAUCCCUACCUAUAUAAUGAAACAAGGAGAAAGUUGAAACAUGAUGAAACAUAAACAAUAAUAGAUAAACAAAUUUUGAAACAUAAAUUAUAGUAAAGACAAACGUGUAAAAUAAACAUUUGCUAAGAUUUGAUGAAAUAAAGGAAACCUUCGAAGAAGACGAGUUGGUGGGAUAAGAUUGAGGUUUCAAUAUAAGAGAGAUGAGAGACAAAGAUGUUAUGGUUUAGUUUUGAGAGAGACGGUGAAAGAGAUGUUAUGGUUUUGUUUUGAGAGAGACGACUGUCAAGAACUAGAAGAGAGAUAAUUUUGCUCAUAUAUAAAUAAGUAACAUCUUUCGUCAUGGUUGACAAUGAUAACCGUGAUGAAAUGAUUGAAACUUACACCACAAUUGAUUAUAAAAACCGUGGUGAUAUACAAGGCCAAACACAUUAUGCCACAAUAAAUGGAAAAUUGUUGGUGUUGAUAUUUGAAUCAUUUUACUCCAGAUACCUUUCACUAUGGUUGAUACCUAUGACUGUUGUGAAAUGUCCUUUCGUAAAUACAAAAAAAAACCUAAAAAAAACUAUUACAACGGUUAACAGGAAGACCGUUGUAAAAUUGGUGUUACGAAAGAUCUAUUUUGUAGUAGUGGUAAUUCUUUUUAACACUCUCCCUCAAGUGUGAGUCUAUCCACAAUUCUCCUCACCAAGUGGAAACUCUUUUAUCCACACACACUUGUACCACCGUUAACACUUUCCAACGGGUCACCUCCUGUCCAGUAGGGAGUUUCGAUACAAGUAAGUUGAUCCAUUCACUUGAACCAAAGGCUCAAGAUACCACUGUUGGGGCUAUAAAUCGAGGUGUGUCAACACGAUGGAGCAUUUUUACUAUGAAGAUUUUCUUUAAGGGCAACUCACCUUUGUGAGAGACACACCACAUACUCACCCAAAACAUUAAGUGAUAGGCGUGUGGAUUCUCCACAUAUUUCUAACAAUCCGGGACUUCCCCACACUACUUACACUUGUAAUUCUUUUUUCACAAUUAUGGAAAAUGCAUGAAUCAAAAGUCGAUUCCACAGACGUCGCCAUUCUUUCCUUUUGGAACCAGAAAUAGGGUGACGGUAAAUAUGAGCUUCCAUCAUGGUCGAGAUGGAAGAUCUGCAAGAUUAACACUCAAACACUCAAGUUUGUAUGUGAGUAAAAAAAAUGAAUUUAAAUUUUGUUUGAAACUUGUCACCUCAAUUUGCUGCUUUCUCUAUAUAUAGAGAGAAAAUAACGAAUUCGCUGUUUGUUAAGAGUGGAUUGUAGAGAGUCGUUAGGUGCAUUUGUAAUUGAGAUCAAUGUUAGCGUCAUAUGGAUAAUUCUGAAAUGUUAAAAAUAUUUUAGAAGAAUUACUAUUCCUUUAAGAUAAUUGACCGGUGUCGAUAUAACUUAUCCAUAACAUAUAUCACUUUCAUAAAUUUUAUAAUUUUAAAAUAAUAUAUAAAUAUAUAUUCAUGACAUAAAAUUAAAUAAAUUCACUGAUCAAGUAUUAAUCUAGUUUUUAGUAAUAAAAUAAAGUUGGUUAAUAAAAAUUAAAAAAUUAAUUAAUAAAAGGAUGAAGUUGAUUACAAAUAAUUUUUAACAUUAAAACAAAGUUGAUUAAUUAAAUAUAAAAUAUUAAUUAAUAAAAUUAUGGAAUUGAUAAUCUGAUAUCCUUAAUUUAAAAUAAAAUAAAAUAAAAUAAAAUAAAAAUUAUAUCAAAAAUAAAUAAAUUUAUUAUUAUAAUAUUUCUUUGUUCAUCAUUGAUGAACAGUAAAAUAAGAAUGUAGAUAUAACUUUAAUGUCAAAAUAGAUUUUUGUGAAUAUAUGUCCCCGAAUCAUUUCUUAAAUAUACGGUCGUUGACUCUGGAAGUAGGUUUGAAGAAAAAGUGGUAGCCUUAGGGUUUAGAAAGAAAGAAAAAUAAGUUACUAUUAGUAUCAGUGGUGGUGGUUUUCCCCGCAAGGCACGGGCCAAAUUUUCCUAGUCUCAAUUUUAUACGACUCUUAGAUUCCAAUAUCCUUUAUCAUUUGAUGUUCCCAAAUUUCCAACGGGGACUAUGGGGGACUUAGUCUUACCUCAGGCGCUGAGAAACACGCAUUGCUAUACCAAGCAUCUAACUAUAGUAUAAACUGUAAGAGCAUUCAUCCAUAGAUUAUAGUAUUAAGUAUUAAUAUGAUAUAAUCCACAUUUUUACCUUUUUCAUAUACCUACUCAAUAAAUUAUAUUAAGUAUUAAUGAUGAAAUCAAUUUAAUAUUUUUUUAGGUGGCUUGCUUAAUUAAGUGUUUAUAAGAGUAACUCCAUUUCUUUUUAUAAAAGGUAAAGACAAAUAUCGAACAAUUAAAAUAUUUAAUCUGAAAAAUAAUUUGUCUAUGUACUAGUGAUAAAUACAAUGAUGUAAAGCAAGAGAGUUUCAAGUGAAUCAUUUCCAAUAACUUGUGAGGGUUGAGAUAUUCAUAGCCAUGAUUUACGUCUUAAGUUGUGGGUUAAGAACCAAUUUCAAUCUCAAUUAUUUGGCUAAAAUGUGGAGAUAUGAAGACUUAAUUCUUCUUCAUUCAAGGAGGAGGGAUAAUUUUUUCCCUGAAGUGGUGAUAAUGACAAUUUUUACUCAUAUGGAUUGGUAUGACAAGUCUUCACGCAUCUUUAGCUUGAUCUAUUGGUAUUGAGUCAGGAAAAUCACACCAUAGGUAGGGGUGUAUGUAGAUUGAGUUUGAUCGGAUUUGCCCUAACCCAUUAUCCAACUCAUUCAAACUUUAAUGGGUUGGAUCCGUCGUCCAGCCCGCAAUUUCAUUGUCAAAACCAACCCGAACCGACCCGUUCAUUAAUGGAUUGGGUUGGGUUGGGUUGGGUUCGUGGGUUGUGUUUCAAAUAAAAAAUAUAUUUUUUAUGUUCCUUUUUGUCGGUUUUAUAAAAAUAUAACACAACUCAAUACAAUGAUACUCAAUUAUAACACUCAAAUUCAAUGAAACACAUUAUAUAAUAUCUAAUAAAAUUCAUCAAUACGACGUAACACUUUUAAUAGUAUAAAAUUUAACAAGAUACAUUAUUUCCAUAAAAUACAUAAGUUGACAAUGAUACAAAAAAAAAAUAAGAAACAUUUAAUCUUAGAAUUAGGUAAACUAAUUGGUCAAGUAGUAUUGUUGGUGGAGAAUAAAUUUUUUUGAUUUUUUUUUUGUUAUUAGUUAGAUAUUAAUUUGUUAUUUCUAUUUAAAAUAAUAAGAAAAUAUUAAAGACACAUCAACGGGUUGGGUCAACGAGUCUGCGGGUUUCAAAACUCAAACCUGAUACCUGAAUCAAAACUAUACGAGUUGUUAUGGGUUGGGUUGAAUAUACCCGUAAAUGAAUGAGUUCGGGUAAUUUAUGGGUUAGUUGGAUUGGGUCAGCGGGUUUGUGGGUCGACCCGUACCCAUGAACACCCCUAACCAUAGGUGAGGCGGUGAAGGUCAGGCGCGCUCAUGUGUCCGCCACGUGAGGUCUCCCUUAACCUCCUUUCGACCUCUUAUGGCAGUUUGAGGCCAACUUAAGCACAAGUUUGUCUCUUUUAAGGCCCACUCAAAAUUAUCUCAAUCCACAAUUCCUCAAGCACGAGGUUUGGAAAAGGCAAAUUUAUUUAAACAAGGGAGACAAUAAUCCCUUUUCAAACGAGAUUUGAAAAGGCGGGUGUUAGAGACCAAUUAGUACUACUUUUUAUAUAAUUUUAUUGGUCCCUUUUACCAAUUUUUGAUGUAAUUACACACUUUUAUUCUCACAAUUUUGUAUAAAUGCAAUUAGGUUUAAUUGAUGUUGUUUUGAGUGGUUAUUUUAAUUACACACUUUUAUUCUCACAAUUUUGUAUAAAUGCAAUUAGGUUUAAUUGAUGUUGUUUUGAGUGGUUAUUUCACGUAUUUGUUAGUUUUGUAGAAUUUUUGGACAAGAGAGCUUCGGAAUGCACAAUCAUAAUUUGGAAGAAGUGUUGAAUGCAAUUUGGAGGCCUAUUUUUGAAGAUUAACACUUGGAAGAAUAAUUGCAUGAAGCUUGCAAGGCAAGGAAGCUGAAGUAGCUUCAGUUCGCGCCGCGAUCUCCCUUUGCGCCGCGAACCUUGCGAAUCCAGCAAGCUGUUUUGGCCAAGUGUUCUGUUUUCAAUGUCAGCUGCGUAUGACAUUUAUGUAUCUGUUUUAGGGGGCUUUUUAGUUUUAGAUGUAAAUGAGCAUUUUAGGAAAGGUCAACCCUUUUAGAAAACAGAAUGGAAAAUGUUCAUUCAUUGAUUCGUAGUUUGAUAUUUUGUAAGAGAAAAACAGAGUUCUUAUCAUUGCCUUUUGCUUUCCAAAAUGAUGAUGAGGAGCUAAACCCCAUUUUGUCAAGAUUGGAGGUAGUAGCUAUUCUUAUUUGUUUAUGUAUUUCAAUUGACUCUUAUAUAUGAUAAAAGAUUGUUGAUGUAUUGAAUGAUAUUUUUGCCCAAUUGAAUAUUAGAUUUGAGUAGUUGUUGAAAGAGAUUAUUUAAGUCUUGACAUAAAAAAUAUAUUUCAAGUAGUGAAUAAGUUGUAGAAAUAGAUUAUUCACUACUCUUCUUGUAUCACAUUAAAGAUUGCUAUAUUGAUAGUUAGGUGGAGAAAUCGUCUAAAGAUUAAUAUAGUGAUUAUCACAAUAUCAUUUAGACAUAAAUGAUAUUGAGAGGAUACUUGAACAUCAUCAAUAAUAUUAAAUCUAUUUAGUUGUCAUAAGGAAUCAUAAGCAAUUUGAAUAGUGAACUCCAAUCUUGCCAAGCCUUUUACAUUUGAUUAAAACUAUUUUAUUGUUUUAAUGACAUUUUACUCAAAAGAUAACUUUUCAAACAAAAUAACUUGGUUACAUUCUAAACUUAUAACAAUUUGGAUUAUAGAACGGCGGUAAUAACAACCAAUCUUUGUGGAUACGAUAUUAAAAUAUUUGCCGAAAAUAUACUUUUCAACAAAUUGGCGUCGUUGUCGGGGAUUGGUGUUCGAUAUUACAAGCAUUGCAAUAAUUCAUUGUUUUAAGUUUUUUACUUACUAUCACUCUUGUGUUUCACUUGGUUUGUUAGUUUUGUAGAUUCUAGUGCAUGCGAGGAAAAGCUACCGAGGAGCAAUUUCAAUUCGACCCCGAAAUUGAAAGAACACUUCGAAAGCUCAAUAGCAAAACACGAAGAAGAAGGAAACUAGCCGAAGAGAGGAACCGGAGAGANNNNNNNNNNNNNNNNNNNNNNNNNNNNNNNNNNNNNNNNNNNNNNNNNNNNNNNNNNNNNNNNNNNNNNNNNNNNNNNNNNNNNNNNNNNNNNNNNNNNNNNNNNNNNNNNNNNNNNNNNNNNNNNNNNNNNNNNNNNNNNNNNNNNNNNNNNNNNNNNNNNNNNNNNNNNNNNNNNNNNNNNNNNNNNNNNNNNNNNNNNNNNNNNNNNNNNNNNNNNNNNNNNNNNNNNNNNNNNNNNNNNNNNNNNNNNNNNNNNNNNNNNNNNNNNNNNNNNNNNNNNNNNNNNNNNNNNNNNNNNNNNNNNNNNNNNNNNNNNNNNNNNNNNNNNNNNNNNNNNNNNNNNNNNNNNNNNNNNNNNNNNNNNNNNNNNNNNNNNNNNNNNNNNNNNNNNNNNNNNNNNNNNNNNNNNNNNNNNNNNNNNNNNNNNNNNNNNNNNNNNNNNNNNNNNNNNNNNNNNNNNNNNNNNNNNNNNNNNNNNNNNNNNNNNNNNNNNNNNNNNNNNNNNNNNNNNNNNNNNNNNNNNNNNNNNNNNNNNNNNNNNNNNNNNNNNNNNNNNNNNNNNNNNNNNNNNNNNNNNNNNNNNNNNNNNNNNNNNNNNNNNNNNNNNNNNNNNNNNNNNNNNNNNNNNNNNNNNNNNNNNNNNNNNNNNNNNNNNNNNNNNNNNNNNNNNNNNNNNNNNNNNNNNNNNNNNNNNNNNNNNNNNNNNNNNNNNNNNNNNNNNNNNNNNNNNNNNNNNNNNNNNNNNNNNNNNNNNNNNNNNNNNNNNNNNNNNNNNNNNNNNNNNNNNNNNNNNNNNNNNNNNNNNNNNNNNNNNNNNNNNNNNNNNNNNNNNNNNNNNNNNNNNNNNNNNNNNNNNNNNNNNNNNNNNNNNNNNNNNNNNNNNNNNNNNNNNNNNNNNNNNNNNNNNNNNNNNNNNNNNNNNNNNNNNNNNNNNNNNNNNNNNNNNNNNNNNNNNNNNNNNNNNNNNNNNNNNNNNNNNNNNNNNNNNNNNNNNNNNNNNNNNNNNNNNNNNNNNNNNNNNNNNNNNNNNNNNNNNNNNNNNNNNNNNNNNCAUGGUUUUGAUGAGCUCACUCAAAUCCAUAUUUUUCUAAAUGGGCUCCAAUCAACUCACAAGACACUUUUGGAUGCUACCGCGGGUGGCUCUCUUAUGUCAAAGAAUGCGGAAGAAGCUAAAGUCAUUAUUGACCGGAUGGCACUCAAUGAUCGUCAAAGUCAACAUGACUGUAGUCCUUCACAACGUAAACCGGGAGUUCUUGAGUUAAAUACCAAUGAUGUCAUUCUUGCUCAAAACAAGCUACUUUCUCAAUAAGUGGAGUUGCUUACUCAACAAAUGGCCAAGCUUCCACAACAAAUGAAGGAAAUUCAAGGGUCUCAAGUUCGACAUCAAGUAGCAUGUUGCGAAUUAUGUCAAGGAGAUCAUCCAACCGGUUUUUGCCCUCCACUAGAAGAAGUGAGUUAUGUGAACAAUCAAAAUCAAGGCUAUCAAAGACAACCUCCCAAUAACUCAUAUCCAAGAAACAAUCAAGGUUAUCAACCAUUAAGGUUCAAUGACCAAAAUUUUCAGCAACAAAGUCCUUAUCAACACCCAAACUCUCAAGGACAACAAUCGCAAGGAGGAAAUUCAAAGCUAGAAGACACUCUUCAACAAUUCAUGCAAGCCUCCAUGGCAAAUCAGAAGAGCAACGGGGCAGCAAUUAAGAAUUUGGAAAAUCAAGUGGGCCAACUUGCGAAGCAAUUGUCGGAACAAAACGCGGGAUCCUCUUUUUCCGCUAACACUCAAACUAAUCCAAAGGAGCAUUGUAAAGCAAUUGUCACGAGAAGCGGUAAAGCGUUGACAAGUGGAAAAAGUGAGGAAAUUACAGUAGAGAAUGAUAUGGAUGUUGUACUGGAAAAUGAGGAUGUGGUUUGUGGAAAGGAAAAGGUGGCAGGAACUCUUCAGUUCACGCUGCGAUCUCCCUUCGCGCCGCGAAAAGAGCAGGAUCAGCAAAUGAUAACAGAACAGCAGGACGAGGUAGAAAGAAAGAAGGAAGCAGAGCCAAGAAAGAAGAAGAAAGGAGAAAAAGGUGUGAGCGUCAUUCCAACCCAACAUCUACCCUAUCCACAUGCACCAUCAAAGAAGGACAAUGCUAGACAUUAUGCACGGUUCAUGGACAUAUUCAAACAACUUCAACUCAAUAUUCCAUUUGCCGAUGCAUUAGAGCAAAUGCCACGGUAUGCAAAGUUCAUGAAGGAUAUUCUCACAAAGAAAAGGAGACAUGUGGAAGACGAAACCAUCUUGCUUGAUGCACGUUGUAGUUCCAUCAUCCAAAAAACUCUUCCAAGGAAGGAAUCCGAUCCGGGCCGAGUCGUUUUACCGGUAACCAUUGGAGGCACCUACAUUGGUAAUGGUUUGGUUGACUUGGGAUCUAGCAUCAAUUUAAUCCCCCUAUCCAUUGUUAAAAGAUUGGGAAAUAUUGAGAUCAAAUCUACAAGGAUGACUUUACAACUAGCCGACAAAUCUACCACUUCACCAUAUGGAGUUGCUCAAGACAUGCUAGUGAAGGUGGAUAAAUUCUUGUUUCCGGUAGAUUUCGUGAUAGUAGAGAUGGAUGAGGAUCGUGAUGUUCCUCUAAUUCUUGGAAGGCCAUUCAUGAAAAUAGCCCGGAUGAUGAUUGACAUUGAUGAUGGACUGAUGAAAUUGAGAGUGCAAGAUGAAGAGGUGACCUUCAAUCUUUUUGAAGCCAUGAAGCAUCCUAAUGACAAGCAUGAUUCUUUCCGAAUCGAUGCAAACGAAGAAGAAAUAGUGGAGGUCGCAAACCAAGUUCAUAUCUCUAACCCGUUAGAAAGAUCUCUUAUUGGAACCUAUAAUGUUUUGACCGAAAAUGAAGAAAAAGAGAUUGAAGCAAUGUUGCAUGAAUUAGAGUCUUGUGGGGAGCUUGUUUAUCAUGAAGAAACAAACGAAGACUUGGAUGCGACAAAGAAAAUGGAGGAACCAAAAUUGGAGUUGAAAAUGCUACCUUCACACUUGAAGUAUGUGUUCCUUGGUGAUGAGUAUACUAAACCGGUGAUCAUUAGCAACACCUUGUCCACAAAAGAGGAAUACAAAUUGAUACAAGUGCUGAAAAAGAAUGAGGGUGCAAUAGGGUGGGUGUUAUCCGACUUGAAGGGUAUUAGUCCGGCUUAUUGUAUGCAUAAGAUCAUGAUGGAAGAAAAUUUCAAACCCGUUGCACAACCUCAAAGGCGUCUAAAUCCAUCAAUGAAAGAAGUAGUUCGGAAAGAAGUUGUCAAACUCUUGGAAGCCGGAAUGAUUGAAGCCGGAAUGAUUUAUCCUAUCUCCGAUAGUGCAUGGGUGAGUCCGGUGCAAGUAGUUCCCAAAAAAGGUGGCAUGACGGUUAUCAAAAAUGAUAAAAAUGAGUUGAUUCCAACAAGAACGGUAACCGGGGUGGAGGAUGUGUAUUGACUAUAGAAGGCUAAACCAAGCUACAAGGAAAGAUCACUUCCCACUAUCUUUCAUGGACCAAAUGUUGGAAAGGUUAGCCGGCAAUAAUUUCUAUUGUUUCUUGGACGGGUAUUCGGGGUACAACCAAAUUUCGGUCAAUCCGGCGGAUCAUGAGAAAACGGCUUUUACAUGUCCUUUUGGCAUCUUUGCUUACCGAAGAAUGCCUUUUAGGUUAUGUAAUGCACCGACAACAUUUCAAUGGUGUAUGCAAGCGAUAUUCUCGGAUUUAAUAGAAGAAUGCGUUGAGGUGUUCAUGGAUGAUUUUUCCGUUUAUGGAUCGUCUUUUGAUUUGUGCUUAAAACAUCUUGAUGUGGUUUUGGGAAGAUAUGUGGAGACCAACUUAGUGCUCAAUUGGGAAAAAUGCAACUUUAUGGUCACCGAAUGUGUUGUACUCGGUCACAAGAUCUCCUCCGAAGGAUUAGAAGUUGACAAAGCAAAGGUGGAAGUCAUCGAGAAAUUACCACCUCCAACAAAUAUAAAAGGAAUAAGGAGCUUUCUCGGACAUGCCGGUUUCUACCGGAGAUUCAUCAAAGAUUUUUCAAAGAUAGCAAAGCCAUUGAGCAAUUUGCUCAACAAAGGUACGCAUUUCCUUUUCGAUGAGUCGUGUCUAAAAGCUUUCCUUGAUUUGAAAGAAAAGUUAGUCACUGCACCCAUAAUCAUUGCACCAAAUUGGGCACUUGAUUUUGAACUUAUGUGUGAUGCAAGCGAUUAUGCGGUUGGUGCGGUGUUGGGUCAAAGAAGAGAUAAACAAAUUCAUGCUAUCCAUUAUGCUAGUAAAGUGUUAAAUGAGGCGCAAGUCAAUUAUGCGACAACUGAAAAAGAAUUACUAGCUAUAGUGUACGCAUUGGAAAAGUUUAGAGCUUACUUGAUAGUGUCUAAAGUUGUAGUCUACACCGACCAUUCGGCGAUCAAAUAUUUGUUAACCAAGCCGGAUUCCAAACAAAGAUUAAUUCGUUGGAUUCUCUUAUUGCAAGAGUUUGACAUGGAAAUCCGGGAUAAAAAAGGUCCCGAAAACUUGGUGGCGGAUCAUUUGUCUCGUUUGGUUAAUGUGGACACUACAAACAAAGAAGAGGAAGUAAGAGAAGAAUUUCCGGAUGAAAAAUUGUAUGCGAUUCAAGUGAGGCCUUGGUUUUCCGAUUUUGCUAAUUACAAGGCAACCGGUUUAACACCGGAAGACCUCACUAGUAAUCAAAGAAGGAAAUUCUUGGCGGAUGCAAAAUAUUAUGUGUGGGAUGAUCCUUAUUUGUUUAAAGUGGGUGUUAAGACAAUAUUUGAGAAGGUGUGCUAAACAAUUGAGGAGUCAAAGACAUCCUUUUGCUAUUGUCACAACUCUCCGUAUGGAGGUCACUAUAUCGGUUUGAAACAACAUAAAGGUGCUCCAAUCGGGCUUUUAUUGGCCAUCUUUAUUGGAAAGAUGCAAUGAACACGCGAGGUUGUGAUACAUGCCAACGGAUGGAGGAAUAGGCAAACGGGAUGAAAUGCCUCUAACCAACAUGCUAGAAGUAGAAGUUUUUGAUUGUUGGGGUAUUGAUUUCGUUGGCCCAUUCCCCUCUUCUUUCUCAAAUGAGUAUAUCCUAGUGGCCAUUGACUACAUUUCUAAGUGGGUGGAAACAAUUGCUUCACCUAAGGCCGAUGCCAAAAUAGUGAUCAAAUUUUUAAAGAAAAACAUAUUCUCACGUUUUGGUGUGCCUAGGGUGUUAAUAAGUGAUGGAGGAUCACACUUUUGCAACACACCUUUAGAAAAAGUUUUGCAAUAUUAUGGUGUAAAGCACAAGGUGACCACUCCCUACCAUCCACAAGCGAAUGGUCAGACGGAGGUUUCUAACCGGGAAGUCAAGCGGAUUCUUGAAAAAACAGUCUUGAGUUCAAGGAAAGAUUGGUCAUUAAAACUGGAUGAAGCUUUAUGGGCGUAUCGUACCGCAUACAAAGCACCUAUUGGACUAACUCCAUUCCAAAUGGUGUAUGGGAAGACUUGUCAUCUUCCGGUGGAAAUGGAGCAUAGAGCAUUAUGGGCUCUCAAAUUCUUGAACUUUGACUCCACUUUAGCUGGAGAAAGAAGAAAAGGACAGCUCCAUGAAUUGGNUGGGCUCUCAAAUUCUUGAACUUUGACUCCACUUUAGCUGGAGAAAGAAGAAAAGGACAGCUCCAUGAAUUGGAGGAAUCAAGGAACAACGCUUACCAUUCGAAUAAACUUUACAAGGAAAAGGUAAAAGCAUAUCAUGAUGGAAAGGUUCGUCAUAAAGAGUUUCAAGUUGGACAAAUGGUACUGCUUUUCAACUCAAGGUUGAAGUUGUUCCUUGGUAAACUGAAGUCAAAGUGGUCAGGACCGUUUGUUGUCAAAGAGGUGCGCAACUAUGGGGCCAUUGUGGUCGAGGAUCCAAAGUCACAGGAGAGCUAGACUGUAAAUGGACAAAGACUCAAAGUCUACCAUAGUGGCGAAGUGAAUCGGGAUGUUUGUGUCAUCUCCCUAACCGGACCGAGCUAAUCAUUGAACCGUCGAGCUCAAAACGACGUUAAACAAAGCGCUUGUUGGGAGGCAACCCAACGUUGUAAGUCUGCAUUCUAUAUUUUGUCAAUUCUGAUUGUUAUGAUAUUCUGUUGUGUUAAUUUUUAAGAAACUUGAGUUCUGUCCACUGCAAUUAGAAUUUUUCAAAAAUUCCUUCAGUUCGCCCCGCGAUCAGCUUUCGCCUCGCGAACUGAAUGGAAAGUUUCAGUUCGCGCCACGAACAAAGUUCACCCAGCGAACUGAGCAUGGCAGAACCACUUAAGUUCUGUUUAGGUUAUUUUUUAGUUUACUCUUAUUUUCACAAACUGAAUUUGUUCUUCAACAACCCCACUACCCCAAGUUCAAAACUCAAAAUUUUCCUCUCCAUCUCCCAAAUCCCAACUUGUCAGCAAAGAACCAAGUCAAUUUCAACAAGGUAUGUUUGUUCUCUUCCCACUCCUUUUUGGUUUCUCACUUAGGUAAGAAUAUGGUUUUGCAAAGAUUGGAAUUUGAUAUUAGAGAUAACCUUGCAUGUCUAAAGUGGAUUCAUAUUAGGAGUAGGUUAGGGAUUGUGAUUAUGACUGUUGGUGGUGCAAACCUUAGGAACCCUAGAAGGCACCUGGAAUUUUCCUGGUUCGCAGGGUUCGCGCCGCGAACUAGGAAAUUCCAGUCUCAUGUUUUAUACUUUUGAUUGCUAACUCCCCUUAUGGUUUGUUGUGUGGUUGUUCUGAUUUUUAUUGCAGAUGUCUAAAAGAACAAAAACCAUGUAUUCCGGUCCUUCUCUUUCAUUGAGACGUUUCACAAGUGAUGAACAUGAAGAAAGAUUUGACAAAUUAAUUAAGCGAACCAUCCAACCCGAGAGAUUCAUCCGCUUGUCGCCGGGUGGAACUUAUCGGAAUUUGGUAUCGAAUUUUGAGAGGAGAAGAUGGAGCAAGUUUUGUGAACCAGAGUCGGCAAUAAAUUACGAUAUUGUGCGAGAGUUUUAUGCCAAUGCUCUGCAUCUUGAAGAGGGAGUAACUUUUCAUUAUCAAACAAGAGUGAGAGGCAAGAUUAUUUCUUUCAAUAGAGAUGCAAUUAACACGUAUCUAUGUAAUCCUCUCACCUUGGGGGAGAAUGAGCGGUGCGAGUAUCGUGCCAAGGAAUUGGCCAACGAUUGGGACCUUCCAAUGAUGAGCGCUACCUUAUGCCUUGAAGGAAGGACAUAUGACUUAAAUGAUCAAGGAUUCCCAAAGUCAUGGAAGAGAGAAAGUUUGAAUCUGGAGGCAAGAGCAUUUUUGGUGCUGAUGUUGAACAAUAUCCGGCCAAGGAACCACAACACCACUAUCCCUUUGGAUGUAGGGUGUUUGUUGUAUUACAUCAUGAUUGGAAAAUCUGUUGAUGUAGUAUCCAUUAUUGCGGGGGAAAUGCGCAAAGUGGCUACGAGCGGAACGAAGUUUGGUGGUAAAGCAUGUGUUCUUGCAUAUCCGGGGCUGAUUAUGGGACUUUGCCGAAGGGCGCAUGUUCCCAUUCCGGAUGAGGUACAUUUGUCUAUUACUAGUGUUAUUAAUGAUGCUUAUCUGAAUAGGUUCUUCCAGAGCCAAAUGGACAGAGCCGAAGGAGCUGGGACUUCGUCCUCUAGACCCCGAGCCCGCACUACUCCAGCAUUCGAUCAGAUGGCGUUUGCUAAUUAUUGUUGUGAGAGCUUUGAGGCCUCUAGGAGGUUAGAGCCGAAGGAGCUGGGACUUCGUCCUCUAGACCCCGAGCCCGCACUACUCCAGCAUUCGAUCAGAUGGCGUUUGCUAAUUAUUGUUGUGAGAGCUUUGAGGCCUCUAGGAGGUCUCAAUCAUUCACCUUUGAUGCUAUACAACAACAAUUUCAUAACACUUUCCUUGCACCUGAAGCCCGCACAUUUCCUUCCCAGGUGGAAUAUGUUGCUUAUGCUAAUUGGCCUGAGGGCAAGCCAGCUUUUAUGGGGGGUGCAUGAGGUGGUGCGACCCAUGACGAUGAGAUGGAGGACGUCCUUGGAUCCUUAGGUGGUGGCCAAGAGGAGGAAGAUUGAGGAGUUUGUUGAAUUGUAGAGUUUGUUUUUAUUUUGAGUUUCAUUUGUAUUAUUAUUGCUUUUGUUGAAUUUUUAUUGUACUUUUAGGUGGCUCUAGUUCACCAAAAUUUUGGUUUGUUAAUUUGUCUUGUUAAUUGCAUGAAUACUCUGUGAGAUUUAAGUGUGUUACAAUGAAUUUGGUUUACCAACAUUUUUUUGUUUAAUUGUUCUUACUCUUAAGUCAAGCUUAAAGCAACCAAGAAAUAUUCGCAAAGAAAGAAGCAUGGGACACUUCGAGUGGUGAUGAUAAGAAUUAGUGUCGGCAUUUCAAGGUACACUUUAUCGCUUUCUAGACUUAACAUGAGUAGUUUGAUGGUGUGUGCAAAUUCCAUAUCAUAAAUUCAUUGAAAUACAUGUCAUUUUUGACUCAAAAUAGCGAACUUAACACAAUUGUGAGGAGACUUUCCAUGACUAAAAUGCUGGGAACAGCCUGGAAAUAUUUCAACUCAUUCUUAUCCAUGCUAAAUCAUGCAUCAAUCUAUUUUUUGUGAAAUAUUUGGAAAAGAUAGAGACAUUUGGUUUGUUCUUUCAGAAAACACUUGACCAAAAAGUUUUGAAUCAACACUUGUUGAGGAGUAAUCCUUAGUUAACCCCCUUUGAGCUACUUUAGGAUAUUCUGAUAAAGUGUAAAAUCAUGAAAAUUUUGUGAAUAAAUGAAUCUAAUUUAUUUCGUGUCAAUUGAACCUCAAAGCCGAGUUGUUUGCAAAUUUUGUCUUUUUGCUUAUGUCUAAGUAGGGAGCAUUAUGAAUAAAUUUGGUUUUGAAUCUAAAGUUGGGGAGAGUAAAGUAAAGAGUUGAUUUGAAACUUGGGAGAAGUGAGUUUAUGAAAGAGUGAAAAUAUGAAAAAACAAGUAGAAAGUCACCCUUGAAAGAAUCAUAGAGCAAAGCAAACAGAAAAGAAGAAAAAACAAGAAAGGCCAUGGUUAUGUGGAUGUAAAAGAAAAGAAAGAAAAAGACGGGGAUCAAAGAAAUGGAAAUUGUGUAGAGUUGAAUGUAUGAGAAUGCUCUUAAGAUAGGCAAUUUUGUUGAUUCUCUAAUCAUAUCCUUUCUUGUAACCAAGCCACAUUACACCUGAAGACCUCUUGAUUCUCAUUUUUUCACAUGAUUCGGUAUUUGUUUUUGAUGACCACAUGAUUUGAGUUGUUGUUGAUUUUAUUGUUGGAUGUUGAAAGUAAACCUUCAUGUUUAUUCAUAUUAUUAUGAUGUGUGUGUAAGUUUGAUUCAAUUUUGACAUAUAAUGGCUUUGAAUUCCUUGGUAUGAUUUUGGCACCCAACCAUUGCUCUUAUUCAUGUUUUGUCUAGCAUUGAGAAUAGUGGAUGAGAAAGUGCCAACACUUUUGAAGCCAUUUGAAUAUCCUUGUUAAUCCUUGUUUCAAUCUUUUGGUCAUUGCUUUGGUUGUGUUGGUGGAAACUUUUGUUUAGGGACAAAACAAAUGCUAAGUUGGGGAGAGUGUUAGGACAAUUAGUACUACUUUUUAUAUAAUUUUAUUGGUCCUCUUUUACCAAUUUUUUGAUGUAAUUACACACUUUUAUUCUCACAAAUUUUUUAUAAAUGAAAUUAGGUUAAUUGAUGUUGUUUUGAGUGGUUAUUUCACGUAUUUGUUAGUUUGUAGAAUUUUUGGACAAGAGCUUCGGAAUGCACAAUCAUAAUUUGGAAGAAGUGUUGAAUGAAAUUUGGGCCUAUUUUUGAAGAUUAACCUUGGAAGAAUAACUGCAUGAAGCUUGCAAGGCAAGGAAGUGAAGUAGCUUCAGUUCGCCGCCGCGAUCUCCCUUCGCGCCGCGACCUUGCGAAUCCAGCAAGCUGUUUUGGCCAAGUGUUCUGUUUUCAAUGCCAGCUGUGUAUGACAUUUCUGUAUCUGUUUUAGGGGAUUUUUAGUUUUUAGAUGUAAUGAGCAUUUUAGGAAGGUCACCCUUUUAGAAACAGAAUGGAAAUGUUCAUUCAUUGAGUCAUAGUUUGUUAUUUUAUAAGAGAAAACAGAGUUCUUAUCAUUGCCUUUUGCUUCCAAAAUGAUUGAUGAGGAGCUAACCCCAUUUUGUCAAGAUUGGAGGUAGUAGCUUCUUAUUUGUUUAUGUAUUUCAAUUGACUCUUAUAUAUGAUAAAAGAUUGUUGAUGUAUUGAAUGAUAUUUUGCCCUAAGUUGAAUAUUAGAUUUGAGCAGUGUUGAAGAGAUUAUUUAAGUCUUGACAUAAAAUAUAUUCUUAAGUAGUGAAUAAGUUGUAGAAAUAGAUUUAUUCACUACUCUUCUUUUGUAUCAACCAUUAAAGUUGCUAUAUUGAUAGUUAGGUGGAGAAAUCGUCUAAAGAUUAAUAUAGUGAUUAUCACAAUAUCAUUUAGACAUAAAUGAUAUUGAGAGGAUACUUGAAACAUCAUCAAUAAUUCUUAAAUCUAUAUAGUUGUCAUAAGGAAUCAUAAGUAAUUUGAAUAGUGAAUCCAAUUUUGCCAAGCCUUUUACAUUUGAUUAAAACUAUUUUAUUGUUUUAGUGACAUUUUACUCAAAAGAUAACUUUCACAAAAACAACUUGGUUACAUUCUAAACUUAUAACAAUUUGGAUUAUAGAACGGCGGUAAUAACAACCAAUCUCUGUGGAUACGAUAUUAAAAUAUUUGCCGAAAAUAUACUUUUCAACAGCGGGUCCCUCAGUCGAAACUUGGAGAGACAAGUCCCUCAUGCGAGGCUUGGAGAGGCAAGUCCCUCAUGCAAGGCUUGGAGAGGCGAGUCCUUUCAAAGAGACUUCGAAAGUCGAGUCUCUAUGGCGGGACUGAGAGAGGAAAGUCCCUCAAAUGUGAGACGUUUGGAUCCCAGAGGCAUGUGAAUCAUUUAAUGCUUUGUAAUGAUGAUGUUGCCUUGGGAAAGCUCAAAUAAUAUUAACAAUUGAUUAAUUUACAUGCGCAAAAUUUGGGUCAUGGAUGCUUUGUCACCCACUAGUAAGAGUAGACCUAUUGUUUGGUAAUAAUGGCAUACUCGACCUAGGUAUAUUGCCUUAUAAAUAGACGAAUCUCAAUCUUUUAUUUUACUUUCUUCUCCACUCAUAUUUCGCACUUCUCUAAAGAGUUUUCUUCUCUGUGUUCCUCCUUAUCAUCAUCAUCAACCUACAUACUCAAGUAUUGAAUUACCUCAUUUCAUUUAUCUUCUCCUUUUCAUGUGAAUGGAAAUUAUUAUGAAGCUAGAUGAUAAUAACAACAUCAUAUAACCUAACACACAUGAAGUAAAUUUGAAGAUGUCGAGGCAUUGUGUAGAUAAUAUGAGACGACCAGAUGGGACAAUUGAUUAUAACCUUAUAGAGUUAGGUAUUAUUGACAGUUACGAUAACAUUUUUUAUUCUAGUAGUGAUAAUGAUCCUAUUUAUCCCUAUUCUUUCCUAGGACAAACAUAACUACUAAUGGCGGAUUGUUCUUGAAAACGUUCGAGUGUCGAGAAUUUAAAACUCUCUAUAAGAUUGAUGGCAUGAUGAUUUUCUUUCGUAAGGAUACAAAUCUUGUUGAUCCAUGUGCUUUCAGGUACAACUGUUUGCAAUCAUAAAAUGUUCAAUAUGGUUUUGAUAAUGACAACUCUAUUAUGUGAAUUCUUCAUCAGAAGUGAUGAUCAAAGAUGUUCUAUCAAGAUCAAGUUGUGUUUUUGUGAGAUCAAUAUAUUAUAAUCAAUCAAGUCAACACUUAAUGUCAAGGGGUGCUCGAUGGAGUCAGUGAUGAUCUCUGGACAAGAAAUAUUUGAUGAUGUUGUUUGUCAAGAAGGUUUGUCAAGCAUCAUCAAGUUAGAAGAAGUCAAAUCCCAAUUGAUUCGUUGAAUAAAUGAUAGAUCAAGCAAGAGAUAUUGAAACUUCAAAGAAUAUGAAAGAGAGAGAGUGUGAAAGCAGGGUUGUAGUUGAUUCCUCCUUGUGUACCAAUGAGAGACACAUUAGAGAAUUCACCAUAACUAUCAAUAAUGUCCACACUACUCAAUGCAGAAUCAUACCAAACAAUAUCAUUAUUAGUGAUAGACUUGAGUCUUUGAGACCACCGUAGACAUUGAAUGUUCUCCGGAAAAGCGGGCGUCUGAGGCAAGUGUGAAAUAAACCACUUGUACAGAAGAGGAACACAACACACAAUAGUCCCACCACCUUUAGAAUUCUUUAAAUGCAAAGAGAAGUACAUGUCACCCAACAGAGUAGGUACAGGGUUCCCAAUCAAGAAGAUUCUAAUAGAGUUAGCAUCAACAAAAUCGUCAAUGUUAGGGAACAAAGUUAAACCAUAGAUGAGAAAAACAAACAUGGCUUCAAAAUCAUCCACACUACCGGCUUGAGAAAAGAUAGUAGCUUUCCCUAUGAGAAACUCAGAAGUCAACCCAAACAUUCCUCCUUUCUUCACCCAAUGAGCCUUAAUCUCAAACUUCUUCAGAUGAAGAGUUUCAACUAUGAUAUGAGAUAUGGGAAUCUCCUCUAAUCCACUAAAAGGUACCUUGUCAAAAAUAAGUAUUCCCAAGAGAAGGACACACUCCUAUAACAUAGGCAUAAGUUGAUAAUCGGGAAAAGUGAAGCAAUAGUAGAGAGGGUCAUAAAACUGAACCAACACACUCAAGAGUCCUUCAACCACAGUAGUAGAUAACACAGGUAGAAGCUUCCCAUGACGUUUCUUGAAAUCCAAUGGAUCUAAUACAAAGGAUGACAACUUCCUUAGCUCUUUCAAAUCAGGACAUCUGAAAUUGUACUUCUUAGUGUUCCUUCGUCCACAGUCCAUGGUCUAAAAAUAUUUGCAAAUAAGACCUUGGUUCCUUGAAGUUAUUUUUUUGUGUGUGAUGAAUGUCAUGAUGUGCAUGAAUGCAUGAAUGUAACAAUCAAAAACAACGGAUCACACACAAGGCAAACACAAACAAAGGUCAAGGGAUGAAUCAAGUCAUUGUCAAGAUUAAUCAUCCAUUUUGGUGGAUUAUAGUUUUCACCUUAUCAACACCCAAGUUCCAUUGAUAUUAACAAGACUUAAUUGGAUCAACCAAGAAUCAAAGGGUUUGUUGUGAGUCACUAGCAUGGAGUCAGGUUAAGAACCACCCCAAAGUAGUGUACUAAGGAUAAAAACCUGUAGAUCAUGUUCUAAAAAGUUCCCAGAGUCUUAAUUCCAUCUAUCAGAUAUUAUAGGUUAGGGUGACUGACUCAUCAACCCAUAAUAUUUUCAAGAGAAACUCGUCUGAGUGUAGUAUCGCGUAACAACUGCUAUAAAGACUACACCUAAAUAGUCUUUGCAAUACGUCCUAAAUAGGACAAAUUGGGUUAAAUGUUCUACGGUCCUCAGCUUCUCGGACCCCAAAUUAGAGAAAGUAAUGUCUAACCACAAAUAACUUGUGUGACAUUAGUAACUCCAAAAGGGUCUCCACUGAGUAGAUGGAUUUCAAGCCAAUUUGUUAAGGACUAAUCCACACAAGUAGAACAUGACUAUACCAUCUUCCUAUCUUAAUUGCACUCAAGUUCGGGAUAGAACUUAUCUCACCACUCAGAGAUCAUCGGGCAUAACAAGCAGAUUAUAUCACACAAAGAAGUAUAUAAACAUCAAAUAUACAAAUAUAUACACAUAAAAAAGUAGGCUAAACCCACUGAGGACUACUCCCCAGCAAAGUCGCCACUUAAUUUCUGUAGCGGUAAAUUCAUGACCAUCAAACUAUGGAUAAGCUUAACAUCAACAAAACAAGAGUCGUCGUCGCGCUUUUACUGUUUCCAAAGGAAAAGGAAAAAGUACGAACAAACCCCAAAGAGAAUAAGUUUUCAAAUCAAAACUAAUAAAAUGCCAGAGAUUACAGGUAAUGGGGUUGGUUACACAGAGGGAAGGUGUUAGCAUCCACAUUGUCCUAUGUACUCCUAGGGAGCCCUUUUUUAUGUGUGUAUGUGUUUUUGGUAUAAAAGAUGUUUGAAACAAAUAGAGUGUGUAGAUGAGAAGAAGAAUUCAUUAAUUAUACUUUUGUGUUUGACAAGACCUUCGGACUUGUGCCUACGUAUCAACAUAAAAUGAGGGAUCAAAACCUCGUAGUUCAUGGUAUCAAUGUCAAAAUGAGUGAGUUGCUUUUAAUCAAAAUUAUAAUUUAAAAGAGGCACAAAGGGCCCAAAAGUUUGCAUGAGUGUUAGUUCUUUUUGUCUUUUGAAAUUUUAAGUCAAUAUGGUUAAGUUCAUUUACAAGUUUGAUUAAGAAAAGAGUUUUAAAAUCUAAUGGCAUAAGGCCAAAGUUUCUAAUUUGCAAUAAAGUCUAAGUUUGAAAUCACAAGAAAAGAAAGUUUUUGAAAAGGGGGAGAGAUUUUGAAAUUUAAGAAUUGGGAGAAGAUGAAGAGACUAAUCCUAAGCAUAAAAUUAAAAGUUAAGAGUUGAAAGAUCUGACAAAUGGGAUGCAAUCCAACAAACAAGAAUGUCAUAUAGAAAACCCACUUUCUCUUUGGACUUUGAAUCAAACAAUAGUCAGUAAGCAAUUAGCAAUAUGAAGAGCAAGGCAUCAAAUAAAGAUGGUCACAUCCAAGCAAGCAAGUCCAUAGCUAACCGUCUUCUUUGUCUUCUCAUGAAUCAGAUGAAAUACUCCUUGAGUUUUUACUCAGAAUAAGGUAUUAGGCAUGAGAUCAAAAUAACAGUUGCAUCAAGACCAUGGAGCAGAUGAACUCAAGUGGAUCCAAAUACUUGCAUCAGAUGAAAACCCAAAUCACAAUAACUUGGUCUCAGAAAUGUUGGCAUUGGCCAAAUCCUUUUGCAUAUGGAAUGUUUCCUAAUUCUAAGUCCAAAAGUUCAUAUCAGACCCAACAGUCCACACAAACAUUUUUCAGGGUUUUUUGCUGUUUAUUAAGUAUUUUAAGGUCCUAAGACCAAAACACAAACAAAAUACACAAACAAAUAUAUACAAUCACAAUAUAUGGCUCAAAUGAGCAAAAUGAAAAUGACAUAAACAUAAACAAGUUAAAUGAUAUGUAAAUGGAAAUGAAUGGUAAAUGACUUGAAAUUAAAUUGCAUAAAGUAAAUGACUUGAAAGAAAAGCAAAUUUAAUAAUAGUUAGUGUUAGUCAUAGCUAAGUAGAUGUUAGCGGAGUUUUUCUUUUUAAUUGAUUAAGUCAUUCUUUGGGGAACACUCAACCAUCUAUUCACAAGCAUGGAUCCUUGAACCAAGACAUCUUCCAAAGGAAAGAAAAAAGGCCAAGUUUCCACACAAUACCAUGAAAGAUGGGAGACUUACAAUCUCACUUACUAGAAUGUUAUGCCUUUAGGGUCAAAUUUAGCUCUAUGUUAAGCAAUCGUAAUUGGACUUAUGUAGAAUUCACAACUAUCUGAGGUCGGGAAAUAAAAAUUUGGAUACUAAUGCAUGUUAGAGAUUUGGUAUAAUGAACCAAACUUCUAAAAUAUACCACACACUAAAAGAAAAAGAUCAAAGGUUGGACCUAUCUCAUCCAUACUUGUAUUGGUUCAUCUAACAUAAGGCUAUUGAUGAACCAAUUAGCCUUAGGAUUUGGAGAUUUCAUUGGUCAAUGAAAGGGAUGGGAAUUAAUGGGAUUGAAGAUGAAGAGGGAAGGGAGAUGAGAGAAACACAAAUUGGCCAUGGGAGGAAUUUUAUCAAAUUAAAAUCAUUCAUUCAUUUUGGGAGAUGGAUUGUACAUUUCAUCAAUCCCCUAAAUCCAAUUAUUUUAACUCAACAAAAGUCAAAUCAACCUUGACCAAGGCCCAAACACAUAGUCAAACAUCACAAGUCAAUGAAAAUGGCUCAACAAAACUUUUACACAAUUAAUCAAUUAAAAAUAUAUUUAAAUUCAAUUUAAUUUGGUCAAAACCUAAAAUCUCUUCAAAACACCAAAUAAAUGGCCAAGAGAUUUAUCCUAGGUCAAACAAGGUCAAAGGACCUUAGACAAGAAAUUUCAUGAUUUUUUAAAAGUCAGAAGUAUUUUUAAAUAAUAAAAAAUAUGCACAAAAACAAUUAAUUCAUAAAAAAUAUCAAAAUUAAUCCAAAAAAUAAUUUUAAUUCAGAAAAUGAAAGAGGAAAAUAUUUAAAGAUUUUUGGUGAAAGUCUCAUAUUUUUUGAAUUAAAAAUGAAAUUAAUAUGAAUUAAACAAAAUAAAGGGAUUAAAUGAAAAAAAUCAGAAAAAAAAUAAAAUAGAAUUAAAAAAAACAAGGCCCAUCAGAUCUUCCUCAUUAAUUGAGGUGGCAGAUGUGAGGGUCACACGCGCGCGUUCCACCAUGCACUCAAGUCAUAUUAAUGUACGCAUGGUAAUGCAAAAUAAAGGUCCAGAUUAUAACAUCCAAACAUGAUCAGAUGGCCAUGAGGUGUGUCAACACACCACCGGAGCUAGGGCUCCGGUCAUCUUCUCCGGUGACCUCCACCAGACUGGUCCAACUUUAUUUUAAUGGAAAAUGACAAACAAGGACGUUAUUUCAACGAGAAAAUGCUCAGGAUCACGAAUCUGACCUCACUUUUCUCCAAUUCCAAGUUAAUAAAGAGAUACAUGGAUUUGAAUUUUGAGGAUCAUGAACUGAGUUGCUUAGAUUUGACCUCAAAACAACUUAAUCUUCUUGCCUAUAUUGGUAGGACUUCAGCCAACCAAAAAUCAUAAAGAAUGGUGAAGAACUGAGGGAGAAUUGAAGAGAUGGAAAUUCUGAAAAAUUACCUUCGGGGGAGCUUCAACAUUGCUUGAUCUUGAUUCUAAUUGUCAUUGACUUUGUUUGAGAAGCUUGUAGGAAGUGAUUAAGAUCAGAAAAUGGCCUGGACUCUUGGAGUUUCAAUCUCAAAACAAAAUGAGAUUUGAAGCUCGACUUUCAAAUGAAAACCUUUAAGAUUAUCCUUUAGUGGUGAGGGUUUGGAAUACAUGUUCAAAGCCUGGGCAUGAGAGGUUGUAUUUAUAGGCCAUGAGAUUCAUUUCCACACACUUCCAAAUUUUGCCUAUUUUAGCAAUUCACCUUGCAUGCUUGCAUGGGCGUGUGAUAGGCCCAUCAAGUGAUGUAUUCAGGUCCAAAAUUGCUUGAGAAUCAUGGGAAGGAGCGUGUUGUCUAUAUUGUCAACGACUUAAUGACUUAUGGAUCUCUUCUUGAUUCAAAAUCGACAGUUUUAUGCAAAGCCGCCUCUUGAACAAUGUUAUUCUUCGGAUUAAAAUUAUGUAAUAUUUCUUCAAUUUGAAUCAAUCUCUCUGUUAUGGUAUGUGAGUGCUACUACUGCACCAUAUGGUAGAUGCUGCUCAGCAGGUCCUUGCCUCCCUACAAACCUUGAUUAGCCUACAAGAGUUUAAAUUCGGGAAUCAUUUAUUAUACAUGCAUCAUUGUAGGGAGCAUUGGAGGCUUGAACGAAGGUCCGCCUUGCUGAAACUGUUGUGUAGAUAUAAGGAAUGAAGGAGGUUGAAACACUUUAUGAUAUGUCAUAGGUUGGACAUGAUCUUGAGGUAAGGGAAUAAGUGGAGUAGUACUUGAUUGCUUGUCCCUUAAGGGGGUGAAUGAUUCAUGGCUACCUUAGCGGCAACAAUAACUUGUCGUUGGACGACGAAGCGAGUAGCUUUGGAAGCCGCCAUUAUUGCAGAUACAAUGGAUGAUUUGAAGGAGGAGAUUUUGAAUAUAACAUAAGUGAUUAGGAAAUGGAGAUCCAAGCUUCGAUUGAAAGAGAUGUGGUUUUCUAAUAGGAGAAGGCUCGAUUAAAUCGAGAGAAGUUUAAUCGUGAAAAAUCGUAGAAAUUAAAAGUUGAUUCCAUAGAUGGCGCCAAUGUUUUGUGUUGGAUCUAGAAUUGAUUGGAGUGUAUGAACCUGAAGUUGAUUGUGGUGGUUUGGGGCUUCUGAUGAAUUGGAGAAGGAGCCAACCUACAAUGUUAGCACAUCAAUGAUCAAAUCAGUAAGAGACUAAAAAUAAAGUUUGAAUGAAAAAUUAUUUGAAUACAUAUGAAGUGGUACAUUUUUAUCUAAAAUAAAAGAAAUGAUUGAUAACUGCAUGCGUGAGAUGCAUUUGAUGAUCAGAUUUACCUAGCCGCUCGCAUUAAAGUUGACCUACUUCUAAAAAAAAAAAAAAAUACAAUUAUUAUAUCGAAUGAUGCCUUAAUCUUUAUUGAGCUUAUGUUUCUUUAGACCUUCUGGACAAUCCAUCACAACUUAUUAAGAAAAGUUAAAUUCAAAAAAGAUGAUCUAUUAGAGUGUUUCGUGUCAAAUAACAAGAAGGGAAUUUGGUGAGUGGAUUCCCCCGGAAAAAGGAUUAAGAAUAGUGCCAAAAGCAGCAAGCCCGUCCAAUGUACCAUAAUAAUUAUUUAUAACGUAACGGGCGCCGAGUGAUUGGCCACAAUGUCAAAAAGCAUUGGCGAAAUAUCACGAUAACGUGUAUCCAAUGUCCCUAACUUCAAAUAUUUUCAUCCACCAUUUAAAAAAGUCUAACUCAUUUCCACUACUUUGCAUUUAAUUAUUAUAAAAAAAAGUCGAUAAUUUUUAACAAUAUUCCCCUCCGACAUUCAAAGUAAACAGACGCCUUCUUUCUUUGUCUUCGCAUGUUUUAUGUCUUGUGGAUAAGCUUCAAUCUUCAUGUGCCGCUCCACCAUUCCUCUCCCUUUCCCACUAUUUCAUUCAACAUUAUUUUAUCUAUUAUCAUGUUUUGCUGUCAUUAAUUAAUGAGCAUGCCUUCAUAACAAAAUCAAAUAAAAAAAAUAUUUUCAUUACUUUAAUUUUAAUUUUCUCCCACGCAAAUUUUAAAAUAAUUCUUCAAACCACCGCGACUUUCAAAUUCCUCGUUCUUCAUGCACCCUAGCACAAUACAAUCCUUGCAGUCCACACGUCUUUUUUCUCCUUUCCCAGCUGUUUCAAAUUUCACAAUCCACAUCUUCUUUCUCUUCUCAUAUAAAUACCCUUCUCUCUUCCCUUAUCCAUUUCAACUCCACAACACAAACACAAAACACAACAAUUACUCUAUUCUCAUUCUUAUCAUUGAAAAAGAAAACACUACAACUACUACUAACAAUUUUACUUAUAUUCAAACAUGGUUGAUUUACACUGGAAAUUAAACAUGCCAAAUUCCGACAUGCCUUCCAAAUCUCCAAAACUUUCUAUCUCCGACAAGUCCUCACCACGC
Molecule: long non-coding RNA, 46148 nt
Filed under: Lathyrus oleraceus (garden pea)
Lineage: Eukaryota; Viridiplantae; Streptophyta; Magnoliopsida; Fabales; Fabaceae
Description: Pisum sativum (pea) long non-coding RNA (PSAT_LNC019168)
Source: RNAcentral